Molecule: long non-coding RNA, 53613 nt
Filed under: Manihot esculenta (cassava)
Lineage: Eukaryota; Viridiplantae; Streptophyta; Magnoliopsida; Malpighiales; Euphorbiaceae
Description: long non-coding RNA (MESC_LNC003969)
Source: RNAcentral
AGUGCCUUAUUUAUAUACUUUACACCUUUACUCAUCUUCCCUCGUACCCUUCUUUUCUUUUUACUAUUCAUGAACUCUCCAUUCCCAAGCCUCCACGAACUCUCACUCCAUCCGUAUCCAUCUCCAAUCAAACAACUCUUCCCCAUCAAUUUCAAUCGAUGGCACGCUUGUCUCACCUAUCCAAUCGGCAAAGGGAUGACGACCGAGAAAUUGCAAUGAUAAAAGAGUAUCGAUGACCCUCUGGCCCUCUCAUCCAUUUCUUAUUCUCCUCUUCCUCCUCUUUUUUAUGUUUGUUCAUAUUGUUCUUGAGGAAAUUAUUUUAUGUUUCUUAUUAUAUAUUGAAUGUGUUAAAUAUUUUUUUUUUCUUCUUAAUCUGAUGAUGAUAUUUGCUGUUGAGAGUUUUUUCUUGUAAAAUUUGUUAUUGCUAAUUUAAAAUUGUAGAUUAAUUAAAUUUAUUAGUAUUAGAUUAGUUUAAUAAUUUGAAUUGGAAUUCAUUGAUUUAAUUUAGAAUUAUUUAUUAUUAGAACUCCAAUAAUUUAUGUGGGUUGUUGAUCUUUUGAUAUAAAAAAUUAUGAUUUUAUCUUUCGUAGAUUUCGGAUUCUAAGGUAGAAGAUAGCCAUUCUCUAAAAUUAACGGUUUGUUUUCGAAUUGAAAUUGAAUCAAAUAAAAACUAAUUAGGUUUGAUUUGAUAAAUCUCUAUAUCGAUUUGAUUUCGGUUGUCAUUUUUUUAUUAAAUUAGUUUUGUAAUUUUUUAUUUCGAUUCGAUUACUUCUAAACAUGCAAAAUCACACAAAACACUAGUUUAACAUGAUUAAAAUCUUUGACGGGUAUUAAAUCUGUCAAUUACAAUUGAUUCUCCUUUUUAAUUCAAUUAUUCUUAUAGAGGGGUGAAUAAGUGUCAAUCUAAUAGAAAUCUUAAAUUUAUUUAUUUAAAAGUCAGGUGAUAUAAAUGUGAUAAAAUAAUGAGACAAAUAAUUAAUUAAAAGUUCAACUAAAAAUAAUUAAAGUUAAGAGGUUUAUCCGUUGAUAAUUGAUUUAAAAAAUAAUUCACUUAAUUUUCUAUUAUUUGAUUAUAGUUGUAAUAUCCGGCUAGACUCCGGUAUCGGAAUUCCUACCGUCCGGUGGAAUCUCGGAUGUCGGAGACCUCUAGAAGGGUAAACUCAUGUUUUCAUGAAAUGUUUUAAUGUUUUUGAUGAUUUUAAGUAAAGAGGAAAUGAGUUUUUGAAUAAAAACAACCUUGGAGGAAAACUCAGGUUCGGCCGCCGAACAUGCAUGCGUUGCGGGUGUGCUUUAGGCCCCCGAAAGUAUAAGUGAGGGAAGUCCAGGUUCGGCCGCCGAACCUCAAGUUCGGCCGCCGAACAUGGCAUGCAUGCGGAGGCACAUUCGGCCCCCGAACGUGGCCUGGACAGCCACUAUAAAAGGGUCUCUUAGCCGAAAACGGGCGAGCUUUUUCCCCAUUUUCGGCCAAGGUGAGCUCUCCGUUGUCCCUCACCGAUCUUUGAUGUUUUUCCUCUAGAUGUUUCAAGUUUUUCAUUUGUUUUAACUUUGUUUUGAAGAUUUGAGCUUUUGAGCAAAGUUUUGGAGCUUUGAGGUUCAAGAACUCAAAUCUCUCCCAACUCCAAGUUUGGUCGCCUCUACUCUCGAUCUUCAAGAGGUAAGAGUCGAUCUCUAGCUUAUAUUAUGUUUUAAGUAAGUUUUAUGAAGUUCAUGGGGUAGAAAAUGCAUGAGUAAGCUUAUGUUGAGUUUAUGGGUUUUGAUGAGUUUUUUAGCAAUGUGGCUUGUAAUGUGUGUUUGAUGUGUUGUAGUUGGGGUUUAAGGUAGUUUGAGACCCCUAGGAGCUUGUAUGCAUGUUUUGGUUGAGCUAAAUGCAUGAUGGUUUGAGUUUGGAGGCAUUUGUGCAUGUUUGAACCAAGUUUCUGCCCUUUGGGAGAAACCAGGUUCGGCAGCCGAAGGGACUUUCGGCCGUCGAACCCUCUUGUGGAGGCAGCCUUCGGCUGCCGAAGCUUGCCCCCGAAAGGAGACUUUCGUCUCUGUCUGGGAGUUUCGGCCGCCGAAAGUGCCGCCGAACAUGCAUAAAUUUCGCCUCUGUCUGGGAGUUUCGGCCGCCGAAGGUGCCGCUGAACCUGCCUGACUUUCGGCUCUGGAGGGACUUUCGGCCGCCGAACCUGCCGCUGAAAGUGCCAUGUCCAGCCUUUCUUUGCAUGUUCUUGCAUAGAUGUUUUGUGAUGUUUUAGGGGGGUUUUUGUGGGAUGUUUUUAGAGUUAUGUUCUAGUUGUUUGGUCCCUCAUUUGAGUCCACCUGUGUAGGUUCGGACCCGAGGAAACGAGGACCCCAGCAGUGAGUCGGUUUCUUCGGUCAGUGUCAGAGCUAGCCAGAGGUGAGUGGAAUAACUCUUAUGCUCUUAAGUAAAUAAAUCAGUUUUGAGCAUGUUCAUGCAUCACGGAUGCCAUGUGAUAUUUUAGGUUGUUUGCAUUAGAAAUCACGAAUAUGUUGCAUUGCAUAAUAUGUUGUUGAUGUGGAUGAAUGUUGAAUGAUCCAUUAGCCCUCAUAUGUUAUGACAUGAUGAUAUGGUAUGGAAGUCCAGGUGUGGCCUGCACUACGCCCCUGGCACUAUGUAAGAGAAAGACCGGACGUGGCCUGCACUACGCCCCCAGCACCAUGGAUUAUGUAUGUUAUGCUAUGUAUAAGAGAAAGACCAGGUGAGGCCUGCACUACGCCCCUGGCAUGAUUGGAAUAUGUAGAGGGCUAAAUGGUGACAAGUUCAUCCUUGUUAUGAUUAGUUGUGAUGUGAUGCAUUCCAUGAUAGCAUGUGUUUUAAAUGCUUUAUGAUUCUGCUCACUGGGCUCUAGUAGCUCACCCCUCUCCCAAAUUCCCCAGGUUUGCAGGUACGGGUUAGACAGAGAAGUCAAGAAGAGCAACGAAGUCUUAUGUAUGUAAUAGUUAGAAUGUGGACAUGACAGAUUGUAUAAUGAUGUAUAAACAUGUAAUGUAACGAUAUUAAGGUUAGAAGUGUGCUUGACCAUAGUAUAUUGUAAUCACUUUUUGAUACAUGAUCUUAAUGUUUAUUGAUGACUAUGUUUAGCCAACUCAACACUUGUUAUGCCACCCAUUGGGGGCAUUGAUGAGAUCCCACAGAGGGGUCAAGUUUAUGAUUAUGACCAUGUUCAGUGCAUGCACAGGUUGAGUUUGGUGUAUGAUAAAAUGUAUGAAAGAAAAGUUUUAAAUUUUUAUGUAUGAUUGUUGAUCAUGUAUGGGAUUAAACAGGUUUACAGGUUACAUGUCAGGCUUGCUACGGGUCCCGGCGGCCUUAAUCCGAUCUGGAUCCUAGCGCCGGUAGCGGUCCGAUUUUCGGGUCGUUACAAUAGUAUUCAAAUAAGCGAAUUUCACUAAUUUUUUCUUAAAAUUAAAUUAAUUUACAAAGUGCUAAAUUAAUUCUUAAUUAAUUAACAAUCUCAAUAAGCAUGUAGAUUAAAUUAAUUAAUUGUAUUAAGAAAAGGAGAAGCCAAGCUUAAUUAACAAUUGUAUUUCUUAACAUAAAUAGAUAUAUUAAUUGCUACUUGUAUUAAUCAAAUUAGACAAUUACAUAUUUAUGUCAGUUAAUUAGCAAUAUGUUAUUUAAUUAAGAUAUUCAAUAGAUCUCUUGAAUUAUUAAGAAGACAACAAUGGAUGUAUUAUUUCUCAAAAAUAGAAAAAGAGUGAAAACAAAAAUUAACAUGAACAUAAAAUGAUAUUAGAUCUCACAACUUGAUAAAAUCUCAACUAGAUUAACCUUUAACUGAAAAAGAGAAAUUAACUACUAAAUACCAUUACAAAAAUAUAGAAAAGUAAAAAAGAAAAAAAUCUGGUUCAGCUUAAACUGUUGAAGAAAUUGAGAGAAGAAGGGAAAGAAAAAUGAGGAGAUAUGUGCUGAAUGAAGAGAUGAUAUUUUACUUCUAAAACAACCCUUAUAUAGACUUUUUCCCAACCAAAUGAUAAAAGAAAUAUUCAAAUUUAAAAAGGAAGAAAAUAAAUCAAUAAAUCUUUCCACUAUUGUUAUCAUAAUCACUUAUCUGAUCGUAUUUAUAACUAUUUGAAAUAAUUUGAAUUCUAUACAGCUGUCAAAAUUGAAACUCUAUUAUCUGUCCGUCGAGUUUUGGGUCACAGUAUUGGAUAAGGUAGAACUUGUUAGUCUAAAACAGUUUUAAAAUAGUCUCUACUGAUUUCUUUUAACACAUUCAGUUCCAAGCCUCUCCAAAAUGAAAAUACAAGUAAAAAUUCAUUUUUUACUAUUAAGAACAUAAUAAAAUCAUGGAAAUUAAUAUGAAAAAAAGUAGUGAGUUUGACAAUUUAAUACGGAUCUAAUAGGGCAAAUUUUCAACACUGGUGCAGAAAAACCUUAUAUCAUUCAAAUUGGAGUUCAAAAUCAUAUUCAUAUAAUCCAAAUACAUUUGGGGUGCUUCAAUUCAUAUGGGCAGAUUUGGUGCAACACUUGCAAUUAUGGGUUUAGGGAGACUAAUCAAGCUUAUGGGCCAAAACUGCACAAAGGGAAGGCUAAAGUGAAGAUUAAGAAAGACUUUUGUGAAGAUUCGGUUUUAUCAUGAUGGACUUGCUAUAUUUUAUUAUUUAAACACUUAUUUUAUUUUGGCUUUAUUUGGGCUUGUUGGCUAUAUUUUAUCUUUUAAGUUUUAGAGUGUUGGGUCAUGUCUUGAGCUUAUGUUUUAUAAUUUAUGAGUUUGAUGUGUUAUUUUAGUGCAUGAUUAGACUUAGGCCUUGUGUGUGGUUCGGUCAGGUCUAAGAAAAGUGCCUUAAAAUUUUAUUUGUUUUCUCUUUAUUAUAUAAGGAUAAGAAACACUUGUAACAUAGAACAUUUAAAUCAAAGUUUUCGAAAUUGCAUCAAGAAUUUUGGCUAACUUAUCAACUAUUCGUUAUGGCGUUGGUCAGAUUCUCAUAUAAAUCCUUCAAUCAUUGAUGUUUUAGCUUCUCUAAAUAUGGGGUGUCAUAGGAGGUGGGUUUAUCAAAUUUUUGGAUUAUAUAUCUACACAUGCAUGUGGGUUUGAGACUUGAGCUAUAGAAUUCCAUAUCAGUUGGUAUCAGAGCACGGUGAUAGAUAAAUUUCUAUUUAUUUAUAUUUAUUUUUUUCACAAGUUUUUUUUCUACCUAUCUUAUUUUUUUAUUUCAGUUUAUUUUAUAUUUUCUCUUAAAGAAAAUAAAGAAAAAAUUUUCAAUUAUAUUUAUGUAAAAACAAGAAGAAAAGAAUUUUUAUUUCAGUUGUGUGAGAUUUUUUUUUUCUAAAAAAGUGAGAUAAAAAAAAGAAAAGUGAAAAAAAAAAUAUCGUUUCAAUUAUUUGAUUUAAAAAGAAAAAAAGAUGAGAGAAAUCAAAGUUUAGUGCUUCAUUUGCAAAAUGUCAUACUGAAUUCAAAGAGGAUUCCAUAUAUAUCGAUUCUUUUAUUUUCAUUAUGGUUGAAAAUUUGAGGAUGAAUAUUUUCGAAGACGAUAAUGAUACGAGUAAGGAAACGACACGAUAUUUUAAAAAUUUAAAAUAGAAAACUUCAAAUCAUGAAAAAUCAAGUUAUCAUCGCUUAAUUCAAGGUUUACAAGAUAAGAAAUAUAUUUGGGAAGCAUGGGAGAAUAAGAAAACAAGUAACGCUCUCUUCAAUACAUGUGGAUGUGCAAUACAAUUUUAAAUCGCGUAAUAAAUGUAUGGCCAAAUUGAACUUAGAUCAAUUUUACUAUUUUGGUAUUUUAGUAUUUUGUGGGAUUUAUUUUAAUUAAUUUGGCCUAUGUUAGAAGCUAAAUUCGUGCAGCCCAUUUAGGAAGGAAAUUUCUUCAAGACAAUUUAGGAAAAUGAUCUUUAUGUAAUUUAGGUUUGACUAUUUGACUAAAUAUCCUCCCUAUAUUGUAAUUACACUUUCGUACAUUAGAAUUAGGGUUUGAAAACUAUAAAAACACCCUUAAGGUGGCAACCACAAGGAGCCAAUGAAUAAAGAUGAUGUUAUGAACAAUAUUUUGGUUCUUCUCCAUUAUUUAGUAACUUAUCAAGGUUCAACCUUGUGGUGUUCUAAUAUGGAUCUCCUCCAUACUUAGUUAACUUAUCAAGAAUUUCUUGUAGUGUUCUCUAGUUGGAAUUGCUUGAUUAUCUAUAUUUCUAAUCACAUUGGUUGGUUAAGGGUGUAGCAAGUUUCGCUCUAUAAUCUUCAUUUCUAAUCACAUUGGUUGAUUAGGGGUGUAGUAUAGCAACCUUUUGAAAGAUAUAUCUUUGCAUUGUUCUUUGUCAAGUUAUGUGACGGGAUUUUUUAUCACAUGUUGAUCCUGAGUUCCACAUCAGUUGGCAUCAGAACCAAAGUGGGGUAAAUUCUGAUUUAUCUUAAGUUCUAGGGUUUUUUUGAGUUUUUCUUUCUUCUUUCUAGUUGAAUUCAAUGAAGAUUCAUUGUGUCCAUAGCUGCAUUUUUUUAUUAUUUGAAUUAUUACCUAAUCUCAUUUUUGGAAGAUAAAUUUAAAAUUAAAAAAAAAUUCCAAGGAUUACUCUUAUUUGGCUAAAAAUCGUCUUUGCCUUAUUUAUCUUGAUCUUAGCCGAAAUUGUGAUAUGCUUCCUAUUUUAUAUAUAUAUUUUUAUCUUUCUCAAUUUAUGGCUGAAAUUUAUGGGAAUCAAUUUGAAUUUUGAAUUGGUUUGAAUUCAGAUUAAGAGACAAAAUAAAUUUUGUAUAUUUUCUAAAGUGCAUAUUUAAGAUAACUGCAUCUAAAUUAAUUUGGCAUCAAAUCCUUCUUUUAAGACCAGAAAUUUGUCCAUAAUGCUGAAGUUGAGUAAAAAUAUAUAUAUUUUUUUCUGAUUCUAUUUGUGAGGUUUUGAUACUUGCCUUUUAGGGUAGAUUUAAAUAGAUCCCUAUUGAAUUUGUUUUGAUGUGAAUUAAAUUUAAACUUUUUUUCCAAAUUCGUUUCUAUUUGAAUUCUAAGUUUCUGUUUUUUGGUUUAAACUUGCUUUUGCUUUCUUGACACUGCUAGAGUAUUGUUUGCUUAUGUUUAUACUCUAGGUAAUAAUUUUCAAAUAGCACAAAAUCUUGUUCGUGUGUUACUUUUCAAAUUAUCAGUGUCUUCUUUCUAGUUUUUGCGUGCUUCCUUCUUUAGCUUUUCUUCUUUAUUUCUUUAAAUGCACCUUAUCGUUGGUGGGUUGACCUUAAUUUCUGAAGUGCAAUUGAAAAAUAAGCAAAAGAGUGGUAAGAGUGCAAACACUUGAGUGCUUUUAUUUCUAAUAUCAUAUUUGCUAGUCCUCUUUAUUCUUUGUUGAUUUAAGGCAAAAUGAGUAAAGACAAGAAUGUGAUGGAUACUAAUGAAAGUGAAUUGGACAUAGCUAGUGAUUAUAAGCUCUUCAAAAAGUCAAUUGGUGGUGAGUUUAAAAGGCUCUAUAGGAAUCUUAAAAGGUUGACUGAAAUUAUGGAGAGUUUAAAACUCUUACAGACUUCCACUUUUACAAGGAUACCUCAAAGAACUCUUAAUUCUAAUAGGCUUCAAGUCUGAGAUGAAGAGUUGAUAUGCCAGAGUUUCAUCCCUUCACACAAUUAUAGAGAUUUGAACAACAGGUUGGCAAGAUUAGUGUAAGGAGGGAAAAUAAAGAAACAAAAUGAGAAAGAAGAGGCUAAAGUUCCAAUCUCAACUUCCAUAGAGAUUGAAAUUGAAAAGUUAUAAUGCAUGAAGUUAAUGUAGUUAUUGCUGAAAAUUCCAUCAAUGAGUUUAUAAAGGAGGUUGUGAAUGAUGGUGGACAUAAGGAGGACAUGAUUGAUGAGGUGGGAGAGACAAAUGGGGUUGUUUUGGAAGUUAUAGAGGAGAAUGGGUCACAUCUAGGGGUGAGCAAUAUUCGGUUCAAACUGAAAAAACCGACCGAAUCGAAUUAAUUUGAAAUUUUGAUUCAGUUUUUUAUUCAUUUCGGUUCGGUUCGGUUCGGUUUUUAAUUUUAAAAAUUUUGGUUAUUUUGGUUCAGUUCGAUUUUGAUCAGAAAAAAAUCAAAAAAAUCGAACUAAACUGAUUUAGUGAUAAUAAUAUGUUAUUUUCAAUAAUAUAGAAAAAUUAAAUCAUAUUAAGAUUAAAAUAUUUUAAUUAAAUUUUAAAAUAUUAAAAAUAAAGUGUAAAAAAUAAAAAAUUUAUUAAAAAUCGAAACCAAUCAAACCGAAUCGAACCGAACCGAAUCAUAUCGGUUUGAUUCGAUUCAAUUUCUGAUCAAAAUCAAUUUGGUUCGGUUUUUAUAAAUACUAAAAUUUUAGUUUUCGGUUUAUUCGGUUCGAUUCGGUUUUGAACCGAGCCGACCGAAUGCUCACCUCUAGUCACAUCCAGAGGAUCUUUCUAUGACUAAUAUUAUUAUGCCUAGUUGAUUUGUUCUUGAUGUGCAGAUCGUUGAUGAAAACAUCCAUGACGAAAGUUUCAUGUUAUUUUCACCCAUUCAAGAGGAGACAUUUAAAGAUGCAUUGUUUUCUAAAGUUUCCAUUCCUGACAUGAACAUGAGCAAGAUUCGAGGACGAAUCUUUUCUAAAGAAGGGAAUGAUACGAAUCUAAUAGGGUAAAUUACCAACGUUGGUGUAGAGCAACCUUAUAUCAUUCAAAUGGGAGUUCAAUAUGAUCCAAAUAUACUUGGGAGGUGCUUCAAUUCAUAUGGGGUAGAUUUACCGCAACACUUGCAAUUGUAGAUUUAGAGAGACUAAUUAAGCAUAUGGGCAAUUAUGGGUUUAGAGAGACUAAUUAAGCAUAUGGACCAAAUCUACAUAAAUGGAAGUCUAAAGUGAAGAUCAAUUUUUGUGAAGAUUCAACUUUAUUAUGAUGGGCUUGCUAUGUUUUAUUAUUUAAACACUUAAUUUAUUUUGACUUUAUUUGGACUUGUAACUAGCUAUAUUUUAUCUUUUAAAUUUUAGAGUAUUAGAUCAUAUCUUGGGCUUAUGUUUCAAUACUUAUGAGUUUGAUGCGUUAUUUUAGUAUGUGAUUGGGCUUGGUGUUUGUGUAUGGUUAAAUAUUUAUAUUAAAAAUAUAUUAAAAUAUUUCUAACAUUUUAAAAAAAUUAUUAGGCAGUCCCUUCACUAAUUUUAGACGUUAAAUAUUUAUAAAAAAUUUAAAAUACACGAGACUAAUUAAUAAAUUUUUUAAAAACUUAAAGAAUCAACUAAUAAGUUGUUCAAAACCAUAGAGACAAACUAAUAAAAUAUUUAACAAUUAAAAUUAAUAAAAUAAUUAAGUAGUAGAUUUUUUAAAAUAUUAUAGACAUUUUAAUAUAUUUUUUGAAACCAAUAAAUCAAUUAAAGAAUUUUUUCAUAUCAUAAUAACUAAAUAAUAUUUUUUUUAAAAAAAUAGUUAUUAGCUAUUAAAAUAAAAUUAAAUAAUAAAAAAUAAAUUAACUUAUUUAAAAGUAUUUUUUUAAAAAUAUUUUCUAAAUACAAAUUAUUUUUCACAAAUAAAAAUGAAACGAGCACAAUAGUAAAAUUAAAAUCCUAAACGAAUUCAAGACGAAUUCAAAAAUUUUAUAUAUGAUCGAAUUCGAGUUUGGAUGCUCUCAAUUUUGCGGAUUACCCGUUCCUUAAGCCAAAUUAAUAUGGUGCCACCUGGAAAUUUAUGACUAUCUUGCAGCUAAACUUCAUUUUAGUAACAAUUGGAAUACUAGCAAAAUGCCAACUUUUUAGAUUUCCUGAUAAGAAUUUAAGGACGCUAAAUGCGAUAAUAUAUUAAAAAAAAACUCAUACUCAACCUGCUUCCACUUAUAGAUUAAAAUAAAAUUAAAAAGGGAUGGCAAUCCCUUCCAGCCCCUCCUAGGUCUGUCACUCACUCCACAACAUUUAAUAAUUGAAAAGGAAUGACCACUGAAACCCAACCACCAUAGCUGCUCUGUUAAUAUUUGCAUCUUUUUUUUUUUAGUUUUUUUUGUCACUUUGCAUCUCAUUAUAUGACUCCUGCAUUUAUCAAAGAAACCUCCAAGGGAUCUUCAAGGCUAGCUUUUAGCUAGUCCCUUGUGCAUUAACUUGUAUGAUGUCUCUCUUUCAGAAAAAUGAAUGAACUUCCUGGAUGUGGCAGUAAAUUCAUAAGGUCCACAUUCUUUUCCAGAAACCAGUGAGUUCUCUAUGCAUCACGUGUCAGCCCUUGCCAACUUGCUUGUUCCAUCUUCCAUCUCCCAUCUCUGAUCAAAAGCUGCCUUCUGCAGUAACAUGGAAGAUGAAUCUGAACAGUACUAUCCUUUCAGCUCUUGCAACUGACCUAAAAAUGCUUGUGGCUGGUAGGGAAAUCUUUUAAAUAAGGCCUGGUUGGACAAUUAUUUAAGAGCUUGCAAAUUCAACGCAUUAUGUUGCCUUCUCUUCUUUUCACGUUAAAACUAUUACUGUCGAAAGAUACGAAUCCCUGAAGCUUCAAAGACUAGUUUUUUGCGCAGGAGUUCAAAAUAUCCCAACUUCUUUGCAUGAAGGGAGGCAAAGCAGCAUCCAAUUCAAUGCUUUCCAGAUCUGAAAAGUCGUAUUCAGAUGACAUUUUCACACCUCGCAAAGCCUGAGAAACAUUGGGUAGAACCAUUUGUUUGCAGUGAAGAUGUAGACGAGGUUGCUUUUCAUAGAUGCUUCCACCUUCUAAUUCAAUUUCAAAAGGAAGCAUUUUAUUGCAGGCCACUUUCUCAAUUGAGCUCUUUUCAAGAUCAGACCAAGGCAAAUGUUUCCAUUUCCUGUGCGCUUGCCAUCCAUAUUUGUAGUCUCCAACUAUUGGCGCCCCCAAUACUUCGGCACAAUGAACACGCAGCUUGUGAAAAGACAUGGUUGAUAAAUAAGCAAUUGGACAAUGAGAACAACAAUAAUAAUAAAAACUGGAACUGCAGAAAUCUUUUGCCUGUGAUUCAUACCUGAUGCUUUCUACCAGUAAGAGGUGACAGCUCUAACCAUGUGUAGCCUGCAUUAAGCUACGGAUAAGGUUACAAGACAAAAACUAGAGUAUAAAACAACCCUCUUCCUUUGGCAAAAGAAUUACAAAUAGUUCAAACAGUCAGCUGUAACCAAAUAUAACAAUGUUACACAUACCAAAUGCAUUUUCUAUGGCCUACUAAAAAUCUAUUCUUUCAUUGAAGGCUUUGAACACAAGCAUAUAGCACUUAACUAGUUCACUUAAACUGGAUCAAUUCACCAUUGCAAGUGACUAGCUAAUAUUUGUCUAAAAAAUACGAUAAUGACAAAGAUUCUGAUUAAUUUUUUUGGUAUGUAUGGAAAUAUACAUAGUCAAUUAGUACAUAAAGGAAUUAUGCUCUCAUCAUAGAUAAACUGAACAUUUAUUGACCUGGUUUUUUUCCCUUACAAAAUUUUUAUGGAUAGAACAGAUGGAGCGGACAUGGGAAAAGAACUGAACAUAUUGCUACCAAAAUGCACCAUUCAACUGUCAUAAGGAAAUGUCAUUGCAAAAAGUCUCAACUCUCAGCUAUAUAUUCAUAGCUUAACACACCCAAAAAAGUGCACGUUAUUUAAUUUCCGGCUUGUCAAAAUGAUAUGCAUUUUUUCCACAAACCCAUGACAUUGGUUAUGUGUGUGCUACAGUGCAUUUAUAUAAGUUUAACCUGUAUCCAGUAAAUUAAUCAAACCAACACAGGUGUUCUCUGAUUGGAAGGAGGGGAUUAAGCAUCCAUUAGCGUAGAAGAAUGAAAUGGAUAAAAAGAUUUAAAGCUUGGAAAAACAUAUAGCAUACUGAAAUAUCUUUCUAAGAUGCCUUCGAAAUUUUAGACAAAAGGGUAGUGGUAAUUUGUGAACAUGUUUUAUUCGACAAUCAUUUUACCUCACUCUGCCUUUAAGAUAACAGAAAACAAUCCUGCAAGGAGUUGAGACGACUGGGUAGUUGCAACAAAUAAGUUUCCUACUGUUUUCCCUGUUUUACCUCUAGGCUAAAACUCAUUCCCUAAGUUUGGAAUUAAGCAAUAUGCAAGAAUUUCAUUCAACUGAUUUCUUUUGGCCAAUUCUCAUAUUUGGAAUUGAAACUUCGAUGAAAAGAAGAAAAAGGGAGCAGAAAAUUUGAAAGUAAAUACUUGAUUAUUCCCCUCAAGCUAAUUGUGGUUUAUAUACAACUUAUAAGAGUACAUACUAGGUAAGAAAAUAAAUUAAUUCCCUAAUUAUAGCCUAAUCAUACCCCAAUCAUAUUACACAAUCAUAUCCCUAAUUAUCAAUACAAAUCUAGGCGAUUUACAGAAAUAAUCUCAACACUUCCCCUCAAGCUGGAGCGUACAUAUCAUAUGCUCCAAGUUUGUUACAAAUAUACUCGAUUCGUAGUCCUCGAAGUGAUUUUGUGAAAAUAUCAACUAGCUGAUAAUUUGAGUUGACACAACUAGUAGAAAUGCAUCCGAACUCAAUCUUUUGCCUAAUAAAAUGGCAAUCUACCUCUAUAUGCUUCGUCCUCUCAUGAAAAACUGGAUUUGAUGCAAUAUGGAGGAUAACUUGAUUAUCACAUAUCAACUUCAUUUGGCCAGUAUCGCUAUAUUUCAAUUCCUGAAAGAGUUGCUUCAACUAGAUGAGUUCGCAUGUUGCUAAAGCUAUAGCUCGAUAUUCUGCUUCUGCACUUGAUCUUGCAAUCACACGCACUUGAUCUUGCAAUCACACUCUGUUUUUUACUUUUCUAGGAUAUGAGAUUCCCUCCAAUCAUAAUACAAUAUCCUGAAGUAGAUCGUCUAUCUGAAGGGAAACCUGCCCAAUCUGCAUCAAAAUAGCCAACAAUUUGUGAGUGACCCUUGUCCUCGUAGAGUAGACCUUGUCCUGAAGCUCCUUUGAUAUAUCUAAAAAUGCGAAUGACUGCAUCCCAGUGACUACUGUAUGGAAUUUGAAGAAAUUGACUAACCACACUUACAACAAAGAAAAUAUCUGGUUGUGUGAUAGUGAGAUAAUUGAGCUUGCCGACUAGUCUUAUGUAUCUAGCAGGAUCUUUAAGUGGCUCCCCCUGUUCAGUAACAAGCUUAACAUUUGGAUCCAUGAGAGUGUCCACAUGUCUACAGUCUAACACGCCUGUUUCUUCUAAUAUAUCCAAAGUAUAUUUCCGAUGAGAAAUUGCAAUACUUGUUUUAGACUGUGCCACUUCAAUUCCCAAGGAAUAUAUCAGUUUUCCCAAAUCUUUAGUAUGACUAAACAAUGUUGCUUAAGCUGAGAGAUUCCAUCAUGAUCAUUUCCUGUAAUGACAAUAUCAUCAACAUAGACCACAAAGUAGAUGCAUCUAUCACCAUUAUAGCGAAAAAAUACGGAAUGAUCAGAAUUACUUCGAGACAUUUUAAACUGUUGAACUAAAGUGCUAAAUCGUCCAAACCAUGCUCUUGGAGACUGUUUUAGCCCAUACAAAGAGCGCCGAAGACGACAUACUAAGCCUGACUCCCCCUGAGCAACAAACCCUGGAGGUUGCUCCAUAUAAACUUCUUCAGCGAGCUCUCUAUGAAGAAAGACAUUUUUAAUGUCCAGUUGAUGCAGGGUCCGGUGAUUAAUUGCAGCCAAUGAGAUAAGGAAGCGAACGGAAGCUAUUUUGGCUACGGGAGAGAAAGUAUCACCGUAAUCAAGCCCAAAAAUCUGUGUAACCUUUAGCUACAAAGCGAGCUUUAAGGCGAUCAAUUUUGCCAUCAAGUCCCACCUUAACUGUGUAAACCCAUCGACAACCAACAGUAAACUUACCAGGUGAUAAGGAGACCAAUUCCCUAGUUCCAUUGUUAUGCAGAGCAGUCAUUUCCUCAACCAUGGCAUUACACCAACCAGGAUGAUCCAAUGCUUCUCUAACUGUCUUGGGUAUGAAGACAGCAGACACAGCAGAGACAAAAGUAUAAUAGGAAGGAGACAAACGAUGAUAACUCACAAAAUUAUAAAUUGGAUAAGGAUUUCGGGAAGAGCGAAUACCUUUUCGAAGAACAAAAGGAGUAGCUGCUGUUGUUGAAGGCAUGACCGAAGUAGGUGAUGACAGAACGAGAGGGAGGUGAGUCAUUAGAAGUACCUGCAUUAGAGAGAGAAAUGUCAUUGUGAUUAGCAUAUGAGUGAGACCGACGUGUAUAGACCUGAAGAGGUUGCAUAGGAGUAGGAGAUGGAUACACUUGCGGCAAAGAAGAAAUCGGAGUUGGAAGUACAGGCAAAGCGCUAGGGACAAAAGUUUUGUGUGUUGGACUAGAAGAAAAGUAAGGAGAGGUUUCAAAAAAGGUGAUAUUUGCAGACACAAAAUAUCUGUUAGUAGUAGGAUCAUAGCAUUUGUAACCUUUUUGAAGCCAUGAAUAACCGAGAAAGACACGUUUAACUGAUUUGGGUUGGAGUUUGUCUUUACUAGGAGUAUGAUUAUGAACAAAGCAUAUACAUCUGAAAACACGCAGAGACAACUGGGUGGAAUUCUAGUAGGAAAUAGGAUAGAAUGAGGACUUUAAUGCUGCAAAACAGAGGAAGGCAUUUGGUUAAUCAAAUAAAAGGCGGUGAGGACAGCUUCCCCCAAAAAACACAACGGAACAUUGUGAUGUAGGAGUAAAAUGCGAGCUGUUUCAAUUAAAUGCCGAUUUUUCCGCUCGGCAACUCCAUUUUGUUGUGGGGUAUAAGAGCAAGAAGUUUGGUGAGUAAUACCCUGAGUAGACAAGAAAUGAGUGAAUGAGGAAGACAAAUACUCUCUUGCAUUAUCACUUCGCAAUAUCUUAAUGCGAACACCAAAUUGAUUAUGGAUUUCAGAGUUGUACUAACUCGACUUGGACUCCAAAUAUUUGAAUGAACAAUGUCAAACAUAGAACUGGCCUUAUUAUUGAUUCACUUGGGAAAAGAAGCUCGAGUUUGCUUCCCGAGUUGACAAAACUCACAUUCUAAAGAAGGCAAGGAAGAGAGGCUAGGAACCAGUUUUUGUAACUUGUUCAGACUUGGAUGUCCCCAACAACUAUGAAUGAGUUCAGCGGAGGUGGAAGACACAAAAGCAAGUGGAGAGUAAGAAGUGGAAAAAUAGUACAAUUCUUGUGACUCACAUCCUGCUUCAAUCAUUUUUCCAGUACUCCGAUCCUGCACAACUACAGAUUUAGUAGUAAAGAUGAUUGAAUAGUAAAGAUCUUUAGUCAAUUUGCCAACAGAGAUUAGGUUGUAUAGAGAGUCAGGAGUAAAUAAAACAUUAGUCAAAGGGAUAGAAGGAAAGAGAUAUACGUUACUGAUCCUUUUAACUUAAGUUUGUGAACCAUUAGCUAAUGUGACUCUAGAUGGUAUGGAAGGUGAAACAAGAGUAGAGAAAAGAGAGGGAUUACCAAAAAUAUGAUCAGAAGCACCAGAGUCGAGGAUCCAUGAACCAAUGGGUAAAGACUUGGUUAGAUAAGUAAAAGAAUUACCAAAAUGGGCAAUAUUUGAUUGGGCCAUGGAGACUGAAUCUGAAUCUGCCAAAAAAGAAGGAUUUGCGCAUGUGAACAGUAUAUCCGACGUUAGACGGGCUGGGUAAGCGAUCGGACCUAUUGGGCUGGAGUCGUCGUCGCCGGGCGAUGCUGGAGGAAGAGUCGCUGGCGUGAAAAGGUCGCCGGAAGAUGGUACACAUCCACACUUGGCCGAAGAGCGUGUGAAGGCGGGUUGAACAGGUGACCGAACCUACUGGGCUGGAGUCGCCGGCAUAGAGCGAGGCUGGAGGAAGAAUCGCCGGCGUGAAACGGUCGCCGGAAAAAGGUGCACGUGCCGGCACGUGGCUAGAGACGGGUUGGUUGGGGCAACGCGUGGAGGCGCGUGAGGCCAAAUCUGCAAGCGGUGCUUCACUGAAAAGUAGAUCGGACGACGGCGUGAAAAAUGGGCUGAGUGGUGAAACUAACUGAUUUCUAGAAAGUCACCAAAACAAGGUGGCAAAUCUGCCACUCAAAGGUGAACCAAGUUUCUUGGCUCUGAUAAAAGAAAAAAAAGAGAGCAGAAGAUUUGAGAGAAAAUACUUUAUUAUUCCCCUCAAGCCAAUUGGGGUAUAUAUACUACUUACAAGAGUACAUACUAUGUAAGAAAAUAAAUUAAUUCCCUAAUUAUAGUCUAAUCAUAUCCCUAAUUAUCAGUACAAAUCUAGGCUAUUUACAGAAAUAAUCUCAACAGGAAUGAAAGAAAUUCAAUUCAUUUCAAUUUUAACAAAAAUAAUUUCAACAGAAAUAGAAAUCAUGCAUUUUUGUGUUAGAAUUAAUUAAUGCAUUCUUUUCUUGCAAAUUAUUUAUUCCAAGCAAAGCCUAUAUAAAAAUUUGCAAUGAGUUUUCCAAAUAAAUUGAAUACUAACCAAGAGAUGAUUCAAUUACUCUGUACUGUGUUACUGCAUGCUGGGAAGAUGUGUUAUGUGCAUUGUCAACCACAGUUAUUCGAUCAGAUUUUCCAUUGUCCACCACCACCUGAAAGCAAUCAGAGAAAGAAGCAUGUCUGUUAGCUAGGACUUUAGAAAGACAAGAAAAAACCAUUUGUCUAUAUCAUAAUGGAAAAGGAAUACUGUUGCACUGUGUCUAGACCUUCACCUUUGUGAACUAAUUGGCCCAAACCCCUUGAGCAAAAACCUAAUAAGGAGGUUAUGGACUAACCAGCUUAAAAGAGCAGUAAAGGAAAUUGCUCUCUUGAUGCUACAGGGAUUAAACCACUUAAAACAGGAAGAGAAAAGAUGCCAUGACCAUCAAUUUAAUGAAUUCAUGACUAUUACUGAAGCAUUUCAUGAGUUAAAAACUUUUUUUUUUAUGUAUCUGACGACUGGAUAGUUCAGACAUUAAUAAAAAUGCUACCAAAACUACUGAACAUUAGCUGGUCUAAGAAAUCUAAUCACAUCGACAACCAUCUAUACUAUUUUAUCAAUGAAAAACAUCAACAGAGCAGGUAAACACAAGAAAAUAUCAAUUGAUGCAAAACAUCACACACAUAACUUCUCAUAACCAAGAAAGCACCACAACUUUCUUGAUAACCAUCACACUGUUUCCCUUUAUUCACCAGACGCAUAACAUAACUGAAGUUCAAGUUUUUACGUUGACUAUCAACGGGACAAGGUACAAAGCAAUCCCUAGCCUAUUUGCAGAGAAACACAUAGCCUGAGCCCAUAUACCAGAACGCUCUGUCUCUGUGCAUGUGCACAUACCGUUACAUGCAUCCUAUCAACCCUACAAGGUACAGAGCACUGCCUAGCCUGUUUGCAGAGAAACACAUAGCCUGAGCCCAUAUACCAGGGUGCUCUGUCUCUGUGCAUGUGCACAUACAGUUACAUGCGUCCAGAUUUUAUUAAUUUCAAACCUAAAACGCUUAAGUUUGGAUGGCGACAAAAGCAUCCCAAUAAUCAAGGCUUUCAACUGAAUGUCCCUUCCUUCCCUCCAUUUUGGUACAAAACUGAUGGAAGCUGCCAAUAAGUGCUGUUCAAUUUUUCAGAAACAAAUUUAAAAAUGACUUCCACUAAUGCUAUUAAGAAUCAAGGACAAUCUAACCUUUCCCAGUGGUGCCGAAAUUAGCCCCUUUUGACGUCUUGGAGAGCCAAUGACAAGUGCCCAAUACUUUUUUUGCAAGAUUCUCCUUCUGUCACCAAUAUCCUUUAAAAUAGAAGACGAUUAUUGUUUGCCUGUAAUAAUAACUGAACCAACUGUAGCCUACAUGCCUUAAAAAUAGAAGAUGGAGGGAAAAAAUACAGAGUAGACAAUCACUCACAUCAUUUGAUGCUGCAAAAGUUUUCUCUCUGAAGAUAGAGUGCAGAACAGUUGUACUUGUUUGUGUUCUUCCCAUGACCAAGAUGCCACUACUAUCUCUGUCAAGUCUAUGAACCUGAUAAAAGGUAGUUUGUUCAGGAAAACAUUUGCAUGUAACCUCACAAAUGAAACAGCUAUAAGAAUAUUUAUGAAAUGGACAAACCAACUCAGUUGAGCUAAUUACUACAGGACAAAAGAUAGCAUUCACUUUAAGCACCAUAAUUAAGUUGAAGUCCAAUCUCCAUGUUUUGCUAUUCUUUUCACUCAAUGGUGCCACUUCUGGUAAAUUCAAUUUUUAAUUACCACUUUCGUUUCAGAAAUUAGAUCCACAAGUUAUGAUAAAACCAAAUAUACUGAACCAGGAAGUGGCUCAACAAAAUGAAAAAUAAAACAAAUUAAUCACAAACUAACCAGCCUAGGGGAUUCAGGAUAGUCAUAACAUAAACAAUGAGCAGCCAGCUCAUCUAAACUUCUUUUGAUGCCAAUGCCUCCCUGUCCAAGCAUAUUUAAAGAAAAGCUUUUACCCCACAAUCUAAAAAAAAAGAAAAACAAUAGAGGAGAAUAUAAAUUUAGCUAACCUGAACAGGCAUUCCAGGAGGUUUAUUUACAACGAUAAUGUCAUCAUCCUAUCAGAGAAAAAAGCACAUCAGCUCAAAUUUAGGACAAAGACAGUGCAUAAUACAACUUCAAACUAACAGAUUCAAGAUUAAUAACCUUAUACAACAAAAGGCUACGAAUAAAGUUUAUUUCUUCCUCAUUGUAAGAACACUGCUGUUUUUCAGAGGGCAAUGCUUGAACCGUGAUAGGAAGAAAGAUUCUAUCUCCUACAUCCAGCAAGUCCUUAGCUGCCACCUUCCAGUAAUUUAAAAUUUCAGAGAGAAAACAAAAAGAGUAACCACUAAUUACAUCUAUAUGUUAAAAACAGAAAAAUCAGCUACUUCUAAUCAAAAAGUAAGUUGUUUUGCUUACCCUUUUAAGUCUUUGUUCCUCUGUUUGAUCACCUGGAUUAGAGGACUCUCUUCUAACCUGUAAUCAAAUAAACCCCAGUAAAAUGAACUCAAAAUUUUCAGAUGUUGCAUUAAAAAAUCAUGGAUACCCAUAAAAUGUGAGAGUUCAAAAAAAGAAAGACCUGUCUUAGGCGAAAUAGUUUCUGCACGAGGCUUCUUGGGAGCUCCGGGCAGCAACGAAGUACCCACUUGAGCGCCGUCGUUUCAGUGGCUGCUUUCGCUGUAAUUUUUGCCGAUAGCGCUUUUCCCAAGGCGGAGCCACUAAUUGUGCAAGUAUAAGGAGGCAAAGUGAACCAUUUACCUUUCUUUUUAACAUUGUCUCUACAGUUUUGGUCUUUGAGUGAGGAGUGGACACGGGUGGUGGUGUUGGACGUCGUCGUCGUGGUGAUGCAGCGAGACCGGAUUACGUGGGCGGUUGAGAUAGAAGUCCUUGUCGAGCAGCGAGUGGAGAAUAACAAUGCCGAUUGGAAGAGCACACGGCGGAGGGUGGAUUCCGGCAUCAUGGAUUUAUUUGAUUUGGUUAUGGGGAGGGAGGAUCUUCUGGGUAGUAGGAGGGUUUUAUGAAGACGGUAAAUCGUUAUUAAAAGGCAUGGGCCGAAUUACGUGAUUUUACAUUUUAAUAUAAAAUUAUUAUAAUUUUGCACGAUUUUUAAAAAUUAAAAUUAAAAGUAAAAAGUAUUAAAUGUAUGACAUGGUCGGAAAGAAAUAGUGUUGCAAUUGGUUAAUUUAUAAGAAAGAGAACAUGAGAUGGUCAGUGUCUAAGUUAACUCAAAUAAAUAAAUUGAACAAAAGUGUCCUUAUAAGGAAUUAUUUAGAAUUCAAGAAUAGUUGUGUAAAAAUUGCGUAUUUUUAUUUCUGUGAUCAUUAGUUUUUAUAAGAGAAAAUUAAUUAUAGUAUUUUUUGAAAAUUCGGUAAUAACGUGGCUGACUAAUUAAUAACAGACCUCACCAACUAAUUGAUCGAGAAACUCGUAAUUACAAGCGUAAUGGGGAUCUGCUAUAUUGUAUCCGCUAAUAGUACUUCUCUAGGAGAGGGCGAGUCUUGAUAAAGAACCGGGUGCUGCGGUGUUCAGAUCUUUCCUUCCACGGGUGAGACCGCAUAUAUGUUUAUCAAACCUUUGUCACGUGAGCUUGUCUUAUGGUGACAGCUCAUGGCUUACUUUGAGAGAUUGUUGUGUUACAUCACAGGUCCCUCGCUGGUUUUCAAUUCUUCAAAUUCAAAUGUGACAAUUGUCUUCAUGAUUUGGAGCUCGUGGCUAAUUUAGAUUGGCCUUUCCCUUCACAUGUCAUUUCGCCUGCUCCUACCCAUUAAUGAUGACUGCCCUGUUUCUUGAGCAGCAUUCAAAACUUGCCGGCGAAACUGCCAUAUAAGAAUCCUUCUUCUUUUCUAAAUAUCACUUUUACUCACAACUGAUAUCUUUGCUUUAGAAAAGUGUGACUAUUUCUCUCUUUCGCAUCUUAAGGUAAUUCCUAUUUGCUUUCUGUUUCAUAACAGAGUAGGAGCUCUUCCUCUUCUGCUUCUAGUCGAAGUCCUACGUCAAGCUCCUCCUUUGACGGCCCCUUUCAUGCUCCAGCUCCCAUUAUUCCUGUAAUACCCGGCUAGAUUCCGGCAUCGGAAUCCCUACCUUCCGGCGGAAUCUGUAACAGCCCGAAAACCGAACUGCUACCGGCACUAGGAUCCAGAUCGACUUAAGGUCGCCGGGACCCGUAGUAAGCCUGCUAUCCUAUCUGUGUACCUGUGACAUCCCAUACAUGAUCAUAUAUUUUCUGUCAAAACAUAAAACAUUUCUUCAUUCCAAGGCUUAACCUGGGCAUGCACUAUCUCUGUUCUGGUCUCUACCAAUCCCUACUAGAGCUCCUCAUUGUUCUAGGCGGAUAAAACUCAUAAUGUUAAGCCUGGUUUUCUCAUAAACAUGAACAAUACAAGAAACCAUAGAUAAACUGAUCAUGUGUCUACAACAAGGGAUUACAACUCUUAUAAUCAAGCACCAGUCUAUACACUUAUACAUAUACAUUAUCUCUUUACAUUUACAUGUCCACACUAGCUAUGACAAACUCUCUAUACUCUUUCUGUACUCUGCUGACUGCCCUUUGAACUCUGAACCUGCACAACUGGAUUUAGGGGAGAGGGAUGAGCUACUAUAGCCCAGUGAGUAGAACAGUAAUAAAGAACAGGUGAUAAAACGUGCUCUCAUGAAAUGUAUCACAUCACAAGUAAUCACAUCAUCUCAGCAUGGACGGAUCAACACUCCCUCAUCUCAUCUGGGGUACCGAAAUACCAUGUGCCUGGUCCUCGUAGGGCUGUUCCAGGUCUUUCCUCCAAGGGCUAUUGAAUCCUUACUAUGUCCAUACAGUCAUAGAAACCAUGUACAAGGAGCAAUGCCAAGUACAAGGAUAAAUGCAAUGCAUCAUAUUCGUGUACACUAAUGCACUCACCCUAUAGCAUAUGCAUGAUGCAUGAAGCAUGAUAAAAAUAUCCAUUUCUCAUAUUAAAACAGUACAGUUAGUUCCACUCACCUCAGGUUGACUCUGAACUGACUCUGCAGGUUCUGAAACUGGACUCACUGCUGACCUCCCUGAUUCCUCUGGUCCGUACCUACACAGGUGGACUCAAAUGAGGGACCAAACUAACUCAAGAACAUCUCUAAGAAACUCCCCCAAAACCCUCUAAACGAUCCUUAAACAGGCACAUAAAACAUGCAAAAGAAAGCUGGACAGGGCACUUUCGGCGGCAGGUUCGGCGGCCGAAACCCCUCUCCAGAGACGAAACUCAUGCAUGUUCGGCGGCACCUUCGGCAGCCGAAAGUCUCAUCCAGAGACGACACUCAACCUUCGGCGGCACUUUCGGCGGCCGAACCUUGCCUCCAGAGACGAAAGUCCCAAGUUUCGGGGGCAAGCUUUGGUAGCCGAAACUGCCUCCACAAGGGGUUCGGCGGCCGAACCUUCCUUCGGCGGCCGAACCUGGUUUUGCCCGAAGGGCAGAACCCUGCUCUGUUUCAUGCAAACUCUCCCAAAAAUUGACCCAACAUGCAUAUCAACUACUCCCAACUAGCACAUACCAGAUAACCCAUACAAACUUCAUAAAACCUUGAAAACUCAUCAAAGAAGCUCAGGAUCUUCACUUACCUCUUAAAGAACUUGAGGGUGAAGGAUCCUAACGUGGAGAUAUGAAGAAAACCUCUUCCAAAGCUCCAAGCUUCAAAACUUGGUUAUUUUGCUCAACUCUUCAAAACAACAACAAAACUCUUAAAACCUUUGAAAGAUUUAGUGAAAAACAUGAAAAUCAUCAAAGUCAACUUGGGAAGGGUUUUGGCUCACCUCUGGCUGCAAGUGGAGGAGAAAAUAUCCUCCUUCCACCGACCCUUGGCCCUUUUAUAGGUGGCUGGCCAGACCACCUUCGGCAGCCGAACGUGAAUUCGAAACCAUGCAAUGUUCGGCGGCCGAAAGUGACCUUCGACGGCCGAACCUUUGCAUUUCUCCCUUGUUGCUUUUCUUGCCACACUCAUUUCCUUUAACACUUUAAAACAUGUAAAACUCGUAAAAACACAUGAAAACAUAUGUCUUACCCUUCUCGAGGGUUCCGACACCCGAAAUUCCACCGAACUACAGGAAUUCCGAUGCCGGACUCCAGCCGGGUAUUACAUUCUUCCCCCCUUAAGAACAUUCGUCCUCGAAUGUUCCUCAAACAACAACAUACAUAAACACAUAUACAUAUAACAAUGGGGAAAACCUAACCUUAAAACAGAUAUGGAUAUUGCUGGAGCAUGGACUCCCGUGUCUCCCAAGUGCACGCUUCUAGGUUAUGGUGGUUCCACAGGACUUUCACCAUUGGUAUCUCCUUGUUUCUCAGCUUUCGAAUCUGGGUGUCAAUGAUCCGCACUGGCUGCUCGACAUAGGUGAGAUCGCUUAAGAUUUCCACCUCAGGCUCACUAAGAACCUUCUCUGGAUCUGACACAAACUUUCUCAACAUAGAAACAUGAAAUACCGGGUGAACUCGUUCCAUCGAUGCAGGUAAAUCCAGCUUAUACGACACAGGCCCGAUCUUCUGCAAGAUUUCAAAGGGACCUAUGUACCGUGGAGCUAAUUUACCCUUCUUUCCAAAGCGAACCACUCCCUUCAUUGGAGACACCUUCAGCAAAACCAUAUCCCCCUCCUGGAACUCUAUUUGCUUCCUACGGAUGUCUGCAUAACUUUUCUGCCUACUUACAGCUGUUCUGAUCCUCUCUCUGAUUACAGGCACUAACUUGCUGGUAAUCUCAACUAACUUGGCCCUGCAAGAGCCUUCUCUCCUACCUCUUCCCAGCAAACAGGUGUUCUGCACUUCCUCCCAUACAGAGCUUCAUAAGGAGCCAUCCCUAUGCUAGCAUGAUGGCUGUUGUUGUAGGCAAACUCCACCAGAGGUAGAUGCUGCCUCCAAGAACCGCCAAAGUCUAACACACACAUUCUCAGCAUAUCUUCUAUGGUCUGGAUGGUCCUUUCUAACUGACCGUCUGUCUGUGGAUGGAAAGCAGUACUGAAAUCCAAUCUGGUACCCAUAGCAGCUUGCAGACUCCGCCAAAACCUGGAGGUGAACUGCGGUCCUCUAUCUAAUACUAUCGACACUGGAACUCCAUGCAGCUUGACUAUCUCCUCGACAUAAACCUGCACUAACUUGUCUACAGAAUAGUUGCUCCUGACUGGUAUGAAGUGAGCAGAUUUCGUCAGUCUGUCCACAAUCACCCAUAUGGAGUCUAGUCUGUUGGACGUCGCCGGUAACCCCACUACAAAAUCCAUAGCUAUGUUCUCCCAUUUCCACUCUGGAAUCGGCAGUGGGUUAAGCAUUCCAGCCGGCUUCUGGUGUUCUAGCUUCACCCUUUGAUAUGUCUCGCAGGCUGACACAAACUGUGCCACUUCCCUUUUCAUCGCUGGCCACCAAUACACUCUUCGCAGAUCUUGAUACAUCUUGGUGGCUCCAGGGUGAACGCUAUACCUCGCAUUAUGAGCUUCCCUCAUAAUGUCUUCCUUCAAACUCCUAUCAUCUGGUACACAUAAUCUCUUACCGUGACGAAGAAUCCCCUCACUGUCAAAUCUAAACUCUGCACUGGUGCCAGACUGAACCGUCCUGGCAAUCUUCACUAACUCAGGGUCUUCGUGCUGUUUCAGAGCCACUUGCUCUAGAAACACUGGUGUAACUCUCAUCUGUGCAAGCAAAACACCUGUACCAGAUAACUGCAACUGUAGCCCUUCAUCUAGGAGUCUGUAAAAGUCCUUCACCACCGGUCUUCUCUCUAUUGCAAUGUGGGAUAAACUGCUAAGUGACUUCCGGCUUAAGGCAUCAGCUACAACAUUAGCCUUACCCGGAUGAUAUUGGAUCGUACAAUCGUAAUCACUGAGCAAUUCUACCCACCGUCUCUGCCUCAAGUUUAACUCUCUUUGACUCAAGAUGUGCUGCAGGCUCUUAUGAUCCGUAUAGAUCUCACACUUUACCCCAUAGAGGUAAUGCCUCCACAUCUUAAGUGCAAAGAUAACAGCUGCCAUCUCAAGAUCGUGUGUCGGAUAGUUCAGCUCAUGCUUCUUCAGCUGUCUAGAAGCAUAAGCUAUCACUCUGUCAUUCUGCAUUAACACACAACCUAAUCCCACUCGGGAUGCAUCACAGAACACUGUGAACUCAUCAUCACUGUUCGGCAGAGCUAAUACCGGUGCUGAAGUCAAUCUUCUCUUCAACUCUUCAAAACUCUCAUCACAAUCCUCUGACCAUACGAACUUCUGAUUCUUCCUAGUCAGUCUGGUCAUAGAAGCAGCUAUCUUCGAAAAGUCCUGAACGAACCUCCGAUAGUAGCCUGCCAAACCCAGAAAACUCUUAAUCUCAGUCACUGUCGUGGGUGUAGGCCAGUUGGCUACUGCCUCUACCUUUUUGGGAUCAACUGCUAUUCCUUCUUCUGAUACUACAUGACCCAAAAAGGAAAUACUCCUGAGCCAGAACUCGCACUUGGAGAACUUGGCAUACAAACCAUGCUCUCUCAAGGUUUGUAGCACUAUCCGCAGAUGCUGGGCAUGUUCUUCUACAUUUCUGGAGUACACCAAGAUAUCAUCUAUAAAGACGAUCACAAAACGAUCCAGGUACUCCCUGAAACCCCUGUUCAUGAGAUCCAUGAAUGCUACAGGGGUGUUAGUCAACCCGAACGGCAUUACUAGGAACUCAUAAUGCCCAUAUCUGGUCCUGAACGCAGUCUUGGAUACAUCUUCUUCCCUAAUCUUCAACUGGUGGUAUCCGGAUCUCAGAUCUAUCUUAGAAAAACAACCUGCUCCUGCUAGCUGGUUGAAUAGAUCAUCGAUCCUGGGUAACGGAUACUUGUUUUUGAUCGUGACUUUGUUCAACUGUCUGUAGUCGACACAAAGUCUAAGAGGUCCAUCCUUCUUUCUGACAAACAAUACUGGAGCACCCCAAGGGGAGGUACUCGGGCGGAUGAAACCCUUCUCUACCAAGUCCUGUAACUGCUCUUUCAACUCUCUCAACUCUGUUGGCGCCAUCCGGUAGGGAGGAAUAGAGAUCGGUCUGGCACCGGGCAUUAACUCAAUCUCGAACUCUAUUUCCCUAUCAGAUGGUAGUCCUAGAAGCUCUUCAGGAAACAAAUCUAGGAAUUCUCGAACAACUGGUACUGAGGAUGGUUCCCUAAUCUGACUGUCUAGCUCUCUCACAUAAGCUAGGAACCCCUGACACCCCUUCCUCAACAUCCUACGAGCCUGAAGGGCUGAUAUCAAACCCCUAGGUGUCCCUCUCUUGUCUCCUCUGAAGACACACUCUGACCCAUCCUGGUCUCUGAGACUAACUACCUUGUCCCUGCAGUGCAACGUAGCACGAUAGGUAGAUAACCAAUCCAUCCCUAGAAUGACAUCAAAAUCUGUCAACUCUAGAACCACAAGGUCAGCUGGAAGGCAUCUAUCCUCUAUACACACUGGACUGAACUGACAGACUGACUCUGCCAAUGAUGGGUCACAUCUAGGUCCACUGACCCAGAGAGGACACUCUAACUUGGAUACAAUCAACCCCAAUCUCUCUGCGGCUCUAGAAGAAAUGAAAGAGUGAGAAGCACCGGGAUCCAUCAAAGCAUACACCUCUGAACACCCAAUGAUGAGAUUACCUGACACCACUGUGUUCGAAGUGUCUGCCUCCUGCUGCAUCAUGGUGAAAAUCCGUGCUGGAGCUGAUGGACCUGCACCUCGGGAACCCAUCCCUGAUGAAGAGGAUGCCCCUCUUCCUCUACCUCUGCCACUGCUUGGUGGACGGACUGAAGCUGCGGACUAGACAACACUACCUGCGGUCAUCUGCUGGGAUGGUGCAACCAAAGUCGCCUGAGGACAUUCCCGUGCAUAAUGUCCCUCCUGCCCACAUCUAUAGCAGGCUGUAGAUCCCAACAAACAAGCUCCUCUGUGCUGUCUCCCACACCUAUUGCAAACUGAAAGAUCUGUGCUUGAGUUGGAGCCGCUACUCAUUCCCAGACCCGACUUAAUUCUGCUCCAAAACUUGCCUCUCUUUCCUCUGAGUUUAUCCCAUCUUUUCUUGCUUACACUUGCCGUACUCUGUGAGGAGGAACCUGGUUUAGCACCAGAAGACUGUGCCUUUGUUUGCUUGAUUAUUCCCUGACUUAUGGCACUAGCCUCCAUCUUUCUCACAGCAUCCAUAAUGGAGUGAAAACUCUCCUUCUCCGCAUGGAGAAUCAAGGAGAAAUACCUGGGAUGAAGCCUCGUGGCAUAUCUCUUUGCUUUCUUUUGAUCCGUAUCAUACGCCUGACCCACGUAGGGUACCAAUGCCAGAAACUGAUCUGUAUACUCAUCAACGCUCAUCUCCUCCGUCUGUCGCAACUGUUCAAACUCCAUAACCUUUAGCUCCCUGGAACUGUCAGGGAAAGCCCACCCAGCAAACUCAUUAGCGAACUCUUCCCAUGUUAUACUGUCUUUUCUGGGGUCCACAUAGUUCUUGAACCAUUCUUUGGCUUUCUUACACUUCAACGUGAACCCUGCCAUCUCAAUGGCUCUGCUAGCAUCUGCUCCCAACUCACUUGUUAUCAUUCUGACUGCACUGAGAUACUCAAAGGGAUCAUCUCCCGUGUUGAAUUUAGGAGCAUCCAACUUUAAGUACUCCGUCAUCUUCACCUUCGUUCCCCCUGAAGAAUUGGGUUGUGCUUCAACAACAGGGGCUACUGGUUCAGGUGGUGGUGGUGGUACUAUUUCUCGGGAUUCAGGCGAUGUUGAACUUGGAUGAAAAGGUGGGGGUGGAUACAUGUGAUAUGGUGGAUAGAAGGAAGGAUAGGGCAUAUAUGGCAUGUAGGGUGGAUAUGGGGCAAAGCUAGAGUAAUCCGACGUACCUCCCAUCGGAUCCCCUGGGCCCUGUGGAAAGGGUGGAUAGCCAAACCCCGAGGCCUGUGCGCCUCCCUGAGACUCCCCCAUACCUUCUUCUGACCUUCCUAUACCCAUACUGACAUCUCUACUCUGAGCCUCCUCCAUAGCAACUCUCUCUGCUUCUGCUCUUCCCCCUCUGUCUAUACCUCUUCUGCUCUCGUCAGAAGACCUUCUCGGGUCUCUUGACGUUCCCUCUCUGCUUGACCUGUGAGAUCUUGCCCUUGGCAAUGCAGGAGGACGAGCAGCUAUACCCUCACUUUCAGGUGGGACUCCAGUCAAUCUCGCGGAUCGACGAGUUCCUCGCAUCGUAACUCUCUCUGGCAAACAACACAUAACAAAGCACAUAAGCAACACAUAGAGGAAAACAUCACAUGCAUCAUGGCAUUACAUAACAUCAGCAGAUAGACAGGACGAACAUCCUAUCCUAGUGGACAUGUUUUCCUACUGUGCUUGACUCACUACACCUCUAUGAGCCCAACUCUAUCUCUAUAGGUCCGACCAUGUGAACCUAGGGCUCUGAUACCAAUCUGUAACAGCCCGAAAACCGAACUACUACCGGCACUAGGAUCCAGAUCGACUUAAGGUCGCCGGGACCCGUAGUAAGCCUGCUAUCCUGUCUGUGUACCUGUGACAUCCCAUACAUGAUCAUAUAUUUUCUGUCAAAACAUAAAACAUUUCUUCAUUCCAAGGCUUAACCUGGGCAUGCACUAUCUCUGUUCUGGUCUCUACCAAUCCCUACUAGAGCUCCUCAUUGCUCUAGGCGGAUAAAACUCAUAAUGUUAAGCCUGGUUUUCUCAUAAACAUGAACAAUACAAGAAACCAUAGAUAAACUGAUCAUGUGUCUACAACAAGGGAUUACAACUCUUAUAGUCAAGCACCAGUCUAUACACUUGUACAUAUACAUUAUCUCUUUACAUUUACAUGUUCACACUAGCUAUUACAAACUCUCUAUACUCUUUCUGUACUCUGCUGACUGCCCUCUGAACUCUGAACCUGCACAACUGGAUUUAGGGGAGAGGGAUGAGCUACUAUAGCCCAGUGAGUAGAACAGUAAUAAAGAACAGGUGAUAAAAUGUGCUCUCAUGAAAUGUAUCACAUCACAAGUAAUCACAUCAUCUCAGCAUGGACGGAUCAACACUCCCUCAUCUCAUCUGGGGUACCGAAAUACCAUGUGCCUGGUCCCCGUAGGGCUGUUCCAGGUCUUUGUGCCUGGUCCCCGUAGGGCUGUUCCAGGUCUUUCCUCCGAGGGCUAUUGAAUCCUUACUAUGUCCAUACAGUCAUAGAAACCAUGUACAAGGAGCAAUGCCAAGUACAAGGAUAAAUGCAAUGCAUCAUAUUCGUGUACACUAAUGCACUCACCCUAUAGCAUAUGCAUGAUGCAUGAAGCAUGAUAAAAAUAUCCAUUUCUCAUAUUAAAACAGUACAGUUAGUUCCACUCACCUCAGGUUGACUCUGAACUGACUCUGCAGGUUCUGAAACUGGACUCACUGCUGACCUCCCUGAUUCCUCUGGUCCGUACCUACACAGGUGGACUCAAAUGAGGGACCAAACUAACUCAAGAACAUCUCUAAGAAACUCCCCAAAAACCCUCUAAACGAUCCUUAAACAAGCACAAAAAACAUGCAAAGGAAAGCUGGACAGGGCACUUUCGGCGGCCGAAACCCCUCUCUAGAGACGAAACUCAUGCAUGUUCGGCGGCACCUUCGGCAGCCGAAAGUCUCAUCCAGAGACGACACUCAACCUUCGGCGGCACUUUCGGCGGUCGAACCUUGCCUCCAGAGACGAAAGUCCCAAGUUUCGGGGGCAAGCUUUGGCAGUCGAAACUGCCUCCACAAGGGGUUCGGCGGCCGAACCUUCCUUCGGCGGCAGAACCUGGUUUUGCCCGAAGGGCAGAGCCCUGCUCUGUUUCAUGCAAACUCUCCCAAAAAUUGACCCAACAUGCAUAUCAACUACUCCCAACUAGCACAUACCAGAUAACAUGCAUAAAGAGGUCAAAACUCUCCUACACCUCAAACACACAUAGCACAUAUCACUGCAACAUGCUUAAACACCAAAGAUCACCAAAAACCUCUUCUAAACCUAAACAUGCUUCCUACCCAUACAAACUUCAUAAAACCUUGAAAACUCAUCAAAGAAGCUCAGGAUCUUCACUUACCUCUUAAAGAACUUGAGGGUGAAGGAUCCUAACGUGGAGAUAUAAAGAAAACCUCUUCCAAAGCUCCAAGCUUCAAAACUUGGUUAUUUUGCUCAACUCUUCAAAACAACAACAAAACUCUUAAAACCUUUGAAAGAUUUAGUGAAAAACAUGAAAAUCAUCAAAGUCAACUUGGGAAGGGUUUUGGCUCACCUCUGGCUGCAAGUGGAGGAGAAAAUAUCCUCCUUCCACCGACCCUUGGCCCUUUUAUCGGUGGCUGGCUAGACCACCUUCGGCAGCCGAACGUGAAUCCGAAACCAUGCACUGUUCGGCGGCCGAAAGUGACCUUCGGCGGCCGAACCUUUGCAUUUCUCCCUUGUUGCUUUUCUUGCCACACUCAUUUCCUUUAACACUUUAAAACAUGUAAAACUCGUAAAAACACAUGAAAACAUAUGUCUGACCCUUCUCGAGGGUUCCGACACCCGAAAUUCCACCGAACUACAGGAAUUCCGAUGCCGGACUCCAGCCGGAUAUUACAGAAUCUCCGUUGGAAUCUAGAAUUCUGAAGAUGCCAGAGGCUUCUAGAGGGGUAAAAUGUGUUUUCUAAAAGGUUUUUACUGAUUUCAUGGUUUUAAAUGAAAAAGAAUUGAGUUUUGAAAAGAAAAGACCAAGGAGGCAUUUGCCAGGUUCGGCCGCGGAAAGUGAAGUUCGGCCGCCGAACAUGGGAAGGCUUCGGGAGCGCUUUUGGCCUCCGAAAGCUUUGUUUGAGUGAGCCAAGGUUCGACCGCCGAACCUCAAGUUCGGCCGCCGAACUUGCAUGAGUUUAGGGGGCACGUUAGGCUGCCGAAGGUCUUCGACCAGGCCACCUAUAAAGGGCCCUCAGAUCGGAAAUGGGCGAGUUUUCUCCCCAUUCUCGAGCUCAGGUGAGUUUUUGUCCUCCUUUGGCCAUUUUCAUGUUUUUCUUCAUCUCCUUCAUGUUUUCAUGAGUUUUAUGGCUGUUUUGAAGAGUUUUCAAGCUUAGAUCAAGUUUUGGGAACUUGGGGACCCAAGGAGUUGGUUUCUCCCAUCUCCAAGUUAGAACUCGCACAAACCCUCGAUCUUCAAGAGGUAAGUGUGGAUCUAUGCUUUCUUUUAUGAUUCAUGAAGUUUUAAGUAAGUUUUAAGAGGUUUUAAUGGUUAAGUAUGGGUAGAUAUACAUGUUAGGCUUUAUGUGGGUUUUUAUGCAAAUGUAUGUUUAUAUAUGUUUAUGUGAUGAUAUGUAGGAGGUUUAAGCUAGUCUAUGCAUGUGGGAGUGAGUAUGCAUGAUGGGGAGAGAGUAUGUGAGGAUUUGGGUUGUUUUGAUGGUUUUGGCUUAUGUGAGUCAUAAGCUAUUUAUGUAUGUUUUUUAUGUUCUUUGUUGGAGUUUAAGCUUGUUUAAGCUCCUUUGUGCAUGGUUAAGGGUUUAUGCAUGUUUUGGAAGGUUUGGAGGCUGUUGUGCAUGUGAAAGCUGAGUUCUGCCCUUCUGGGAAGAACUCAGGUUCGGCCGCCGAAAGUAGUUUCGGCCGCCGGACCUGCCUGUGGUAGCUUGUUUUGGCUGCCGAACCCUGCCCUCGAAAGUUGGAUUUUCGGCUCUGGAAGGGAGUUUCGGCCGCCGAAGGUGCCGCCGAACAUGCAUGAGUUUCGUCUCUGGAAAGGGGUUUCGGCCGCCGAACCUGCCGCCGAAAGUGCCCUGUCCAGCCUUUUCAUGGUUGUUUUCUAUGCAUGUUUAAGUGAUAUUUUAGAGGGUUUUUGGGGAGUUGUUUAUGAGUUGUUUAGAGUGUGUUGGCACCUCAUUCGAGUCCACCUGUGUAGGAUCGGACCCGAGGGAUCGAGGAGGCCAUCAGUGUUAGCAGUUGCAGAGUCUGUUCAGCGUCUGCCAGAGGUGAGUAGAACUAAACUUAAUCUUUUAUUUUAUGAAAUUCAAAUGCCUAAAGCAUGUUCAUGCAUCAUGUUUAUAUGUAAUAGGUUGAUUGCACUAGUUACACGAAUAUGACGCAUUGCAUUAUUUACUGUUGAUGUGGAUGGACCAAGGCGACCCCAAUAGCUCUAGCUAUGUUAUGAUAAUGAAGUCUUGAGGAGCCCCUUGAGGGCCGGGCAUAAUGAAGUCCUGAGGAGCCCGAAGGGCCGGGCACCAUGUUAUGUUACAGACAGAGGGAGUUUUGGUGGUCAUGUCCAAUCCGUUAUGUGAAAUGUUUGUGCUGUGACGCAUUUCAUGAAAGCAUGUAAUUAAUGAACUGUUUUCUUUGUUUCUACUCACUGGGCUUUUUAGCUCACCCCUCUCCCCUAACCCCAGUGUUGCAGGUUUGAGGUCGUUCGGGAAGUCUCAAGAGUAAAGGUUUUGCUUAUGUAAUAGUAUUAGACUAGUACUUUUAGUGUGGACAUGUAUCGUAAAUUGAUAUAAUGUUUUGUAAGAGAUUGUAAUGUAAUUAAAGUAGAGUUAUGUUUAUGGAUUAGUACUGUGCUUGGCCCUAAGACUUGGUUAGUCCCUGUUUAAUACAUGAUGUAUGUUAUGUUUAGUGUUGAGUUGAGUUUGAACCAAACUGGUGGCAUGUAUUGUUUACCACUUUAGAGUUUGAUGAGGACCCUAGUAGAGGUCUUAUGUUUGUGGUUUGAUGCAUGCACAGGUUAGAUUCUAGUGCUUUGGAUGUGAUCCCAGCUUGAUGUAUGUUAUGUUGACCCAGCUAGAGUUUUGAUGAGGGCUCUAGUAGGGGGUUUCUUUAUGUUUUCAGUUAUGUCGCAUACAGGUCAGGCUCGGUAUGUACAUCAGAUGUUAAAGUUUUGAUCAUGUAUGGGAUUUGACCAGGUGAUAGGAAGUAUGUUUGGCUUGCUACGGGUCCCGACGGCCUUAAGCCGAUCUGGACCCUAGCGCCGGUAGCGGUUCGGGUCGUUCUAGAGGAGUAUCGGUUUCCGGGCUGUUACAGAGUGGUAUCAGAGCUUUGGGCCUCAUCAGUACGGUGUGUUGAGCAAAGAUGCUCAAGGAUUAGAGGUAUCCCACAUCGGAACGAGGUUGGUUUAGAGGUCAUGGAAGGGCAAGCACAAUAGGAGGAAUCAUGUCCACUAGGAUAGGAUGUAGGGUCCUGUCUUGUUUGAUGAUGAUGUGAAAUGCCAUGAUUUUAUGCAUGUGCAUUAAUGUUAUGUAUGUUAUGUGAUGCAUGCUAUGUAUGUUGCAUGUUCAUGUGUUUUCAUAUGAACCGUAGGAUGCUAAUGAUUGAUUGUAUGCUUGUGUGUUGUCCUUCAGAGGAGCCAUAAUGCAAGGUGCUCGUCGAUCUGUGGAAUCGACUGGAGUUCCAUCUGAGAGGGAAGGUUUGGACACCUUUCCCCCUGCUCUGCCAAGAGCGCAGUCAUGGUGAGUCAGCAGAUGGGGAACAUCAAGGGACCCUGGAAGGUCUUUUGAUGUAAGCUGAGAAGGAAUGGCUCCAAGAAGGAUGUCAGCUAGUAUGAGGGAAGUAGAGUCGGAUGUUUAGAGAAGGGAUGUCAGUUUGGGAAUCAGAGUGCCGGAGGAAGGUAUGGGAGAUUCUCAGGAGGAUGCUCAGACUCAGGAUUCCAGGAUCUCAGGUUCAGGAGGGAUUGAUCCCUCCACUUUGAGUACAGCCUCCACAAAAAGUAAGAAGUGGGGCAGAGGCCUCAGAAAGUCGAAGAAGAAAUUUUGGCAGAAUCUGAAAUCUAGUAUGGGUUUUGGUGGUGGCUCCAGCUCUGGCUCAGGCAAUUCAAGAUGCUUAAGGUGCGGUAGGCCGCAUAAGGGAGUCUGUCUGAUUGGGACUAAUCUAUGUUUUAGAUGCGGUCAGGAAGGGCACAUGGUACGUGAGUGUCCCAUUGCGCCCUGGUUGGCACAGUCUUAGCGGACAACUUCAGGUAGAGCGGCUCAGCCAACAGCUCCAGCCAUGGUUCAGGUUAGUGGUUGAGGCAGAAGGAGAGGGUCAGUCCCUCAUUCUUCAGGUUCCUGUGGAGAAGGUCCGUCAGCUUCAGCUCGGAUCUUCACCCAAGCUCAGCAAGAGGCAGACACAUUGAACACAGUGGUGCCAGGUACGCUCACUUUUGAAUGUUCUGAUGUGUAUAUUUUGUGAACUCUGGUGGUUCUCUUUCUUUAGUUGCUCUAGGAGCCGUCGAGAGGUUGAGUUGAUAGCUUCUGGGCUAGAGUGUUCUCUUUGGGUCAGUGGACCCGAGUGUGAUCCAUCUGUGGCAGAGUCAGUCUGCCGGUUCAGUUCUGUGUCAGUUGGGGGUAGAUGCCUUCCACCCGACUUUGAGGUCCUAGACUUGACUGUCUGGACGUCAAUCAAGGGAUGGAUUGGUUUCUGCUCGUGGUGCUAUCUUGGUCUGUAGAGACGAGGUAGUCAAGUUCAGAGGACAGGAUGGGUCAGAGGUAGUCUGUUGAGGGAACAGUAGGGAUGCCUAGGGGUUUGAUGUCAGCCUGUCAGGUUCGUAGGGUGCAUAGGAGGGGUUGUCAGAGGGUUUUAGCUCUUGUCUGAGAGUUUAGCAGUCGGGUCAGGGAACCAGUCUCAGUGCCAGUUGUUUAGAGAGAGCUAGUUGUUAGAGCAGUUGCGAGACUUGGUAGACAAGGGUUUUAUCCGACCUAGUACCUCACCCUGGAUUGCUCCAGUGUUGUUGUGGGAAAAGCAGGAUGGAUCCUUGAGACCCUGUGUCGACUAUAAGCAGUUGACCAAGGUCACUACCAAGGGCAGGUAUUCCCAUUCAGGAUUGAUGACCUAUUGGAGCAACUAGUAGGAGCUGGUUGUCUUCCAAUAUAGAUCUGAAAUCCGGGUACUACCUGUGAGAGUUAGAGUUAGUUUUGGGUUAGCAGUGAGAAGAAGCUAGUUAGUGAAGAUGAAGAGAAAAGAGAAAGGAUCAGAGUAGCGCUUUGGAAGCGUGUUGAGUUUCAGGAGAAGGUUGGGUAUUGCUAAGGUGUGUCUAGAAGACCCGGGAGUUCUUACUCCAGCAGUGCCUGUGUCUUUCUUUCAGGAGAGAGAUUUUUAGGUUUUGCUUGCUGGUUUGCUUGCUUGUGUAUGUAUGCUUGAUGCUAUGUUUUAAGAAUGCGUGUUUGUUUGUUUUAACAUUCGAGGACGAAUGUUUUUAAAGGAGGGAAGAUUGUAAUACCCGGCUAGAUUCCGGCAUCGGAAUCCCUACCUUUCGGCGGAAUCUCCGUUGGAAUCUAGAAUUCUGAAGAUGCCAGAGGCUUCUAGAGGGGUAAAAUGUGUUUUCUAAAAGGUUUUUACUGAUUUCAUGGUUUUAAAUGAAAAAGAAUUGAGUUUUGAAAAAGAAAAGACCAAGGAGGCAUUUGCCAGGUUCAGCCGCCGAAAGUGAAGUUCGGCCGCCGAACAUGGGAAGGCUUGGGAGCUCUUUUGGCCUCCGAAAGCUUUGUUUGAGCGAGCCAAGGUUCGGCCGCCGAACCUCAAGUUCGGCCGCCGAACUUGCAUGAGUUUAGGGGGCACGUUAGGCUGCCGAAGGUCUUCGACCAGGCCACCUAUAAAGGGCCCUCAGAUCGGAAAUGGGCGAGUUUUCUCCCUAUUCUCGAGCUCAGGUGAGUUUUUGUCCUCCUUUGGCCAUUUUCAUGUUUUUCUUCAUCUCCUUCAUGUUUUCAUGAGUUUUAUGGCUGUUUUGAAGAGUUUUCAAGCUUAGAUCAAGUUUUGGGAACUUGGGGACCCAAGGAGUUGGUUUCUCCCAUCUCCAAGUUAGAACUCGCACAAACCCUNNNNNNNNNNNNNNNNNNNNNNNNNNNNNNNNNNNNNNNNNNNNNNNNNNNNNNNNNNNNNNNNNNNNNNNNNNNNNNNNNNNNNNNNNNNNNNNNNNNNNNNNNNNNNNNNNNNNNNNNNNNNNNNNNNNNNNNNNNNNNNNNNNNNNNNNNNNNNNNNNNNNNNNNNNNNNNNNNNNNNNNNNNNNNNNNNNNNNNNNNNNNNNNNNNNNNNNNNNNNNNNNNNNNNNNNNNNNNNNNNNNNNNNNNNNNNNNNNNNNNNNNNNNNNNNNNNNNNNNNNNNNNNNNNNNNNNNNNNNNNNNNNNNNNNNNNNNNNNNNNNNNNNNNNNNNNNNNNNNNNNNNNNNNNNNNNNNNNNNNNNNNNNNNNNNNNNNNNNNNNNNNNNNNNNNNNNNNNNNNNNNNNNNNNNNNNNNNNNNNNNNNNNNNNNNNNNNNNNNNNNNNNNNNNNNNNNNNNNNNNNNNNNNNNNNNNNNNNNNNNNNNNNNNNNNNNNNNNNNNNNNNNNNNNNNNNNNNNNNNNNNNNNNNNNNNNNNNNNNNNNNNNNNNNNNNNNNNNNNNNNNNNNNNNNNNNNNNNNNNNNNNNNNNNNNNNNNNNNNNNNNNNNNNNNNNNNNNNNNNNNNNNNNNNNNNNNNNNNNNNNNNNNNNNNNNNNNNNNNNNNNNNNNNNNNNNNNNNNNNNNNNNNNNNNNNNNNNNNNNNNNNNNNNNNNNNNNNNNNNNNNNNNNNNNNNNNNNNNNNNNNNNNNNNNNNNNNNNNNNNNNNNNNNNNNNNNNNNNNNNNNNNNNNNNNNNNNNNNNNNNNNNNNNNNNNNNNNNNNNNNNNNNNNNNNNNNNNNNNNNNNNNNNNNNNNNNNNNNNNNNNNNNNNNNNNNNNNNNNNNNNNNNNNNNNNNNNNNNNNNNNNNNNNNNNNNNNNNNNNNNNNNNNNNNNNNNNNNNNNNNNNNNNNNNNNNNNNNNNNNNNNNNNNNNNNNNNNNNNNNNNNNNNNNNNNNNNNNNNNNNNNNNNNNNNNNNNNNNNNNNNNNNNNNNNNNNNNNNNNNNNNNNNNNNNNNNNNNNNNNNNNNNNNNNNNNNNNNNNNNNNNNNNNNNNNNNNNNNNNNNNNNNNNNNNNNNNNNNNNNNNNNNNNNNNNNNNNNNNNNNNNNNNNNNNNNNNNNNNNNNNNNNNNNNNNNNNNNNNNNNNNNNNNNNNNNNNNNNNNNNNNNNNNNNNNNNNNNNNNNNNNNNNNNNNNNNNNNNNNNNNNNNNNNNNNNNNNNNNNNNNNNNNNNNNNNNNNNNNNNNNNNNNNNNNNNNNNNNNNNNNNNNNNNNNNNNNNNNNNNNNNNNNNNNNNNNNNNNNNNNNNNNNNNNNNNNNNNNNNNNNNNNNNNNNNNNNNNNNNNNNNNNNNNNNNNNNNNNNNNNNNNNNNNNNNNNNNNNNNNNNNNNNNNNNNNNNNNNNNNNNNNNNNNNNNNNNNNNNNNNNNNNNNNNNNNNNNNNNNNNNNNNNNNNNNNNNNNNNNNNNNNNNNNNNNNNNNNNNNNNNNNNNNNNNNNNNNNNNNNNNNNNNNNNNNNNNNNNNNNNNNNNNNNNNNNNNNNNNNNNNNNNNNNNNNNNNNNNNNNNNNNNNNNNNNNNNNNNNNNNNNNNNNNNNNNNNNNNNNNNNNNNNNNNNNNNNNNNNNNNNNNNNNNNNNNNNNNNNNNNNNNNNNNNNNNNNNNNNNNNNNNNNNNNNNNNAGCUUGAUGUAUGUUAUGUUGACCCAGCUAGAGUUUUGAUGAGGGCUCUAGUAGGGGGUUUCUUUAUGUUUUCAGUUAUGUCGCAUACAGGUCAGGCUCGGUAUGUACAUCAGAUGUUAAAGUUUUGAUCAUGUAUGGGAUUUGACCAGGUGAUAGGAAGUAUGUUUGGCUUGCUACGGGUCCCGGCGGCCUUAAGCCGAUCUGGACCCUAGCGCCGGUAGCGGUUCGGGCCGUUCUAGAGGAGUAUCGGUUUCUGGGCUGUUACAAUUCCGCUUAGAAUUGUCUAUGAAAGUGAAGGCAACCUGAUCAGCGAUAUUCUUUUCAUACUAACGGAAAAAAGAUGUAGAAUAUCUUCACGACAAAUGCCACAUUUCUCGAGAAAUCUUCCGAGUCUUCGCUCCUUUUUCGAGUGUCUGUGCAAAUGAUCGGAUCCCUGUGAAGGAUACCAUCAUAGUCAACGAAGAGCAAUUGAAGGCAGGUCUUCGGUUCCCCAUGGACCCCUUUUUUACCGAGGUCCUCCGAUUUCACAAACUGUCAAUCGCCUAGCUACACCCCAACAGUUGGAGAAUCAUAGUGGCCUUCUGAUUUGUUUGUUUUAAUAAUAAUAUUGAGCCGAGCGUGACCCUUUUCUCUCAGCUGUACUAGCUGGACACUCGAAAAAACGAAGAGUUCUAGUUUUUCAGUGGGAGGAAAUGCCAGACACCAUUUAACUGGAUACCUUCUUCCCUAAAGUGAUGGAAGAACAAGUUUUUUAUCCUCCGCUACCGAGUGUCUGAGGGUUUUCGUCGCCUUCAAAUGAGCUGGAACAUAUGGGUAGAGUUAAGAAAGGAUGGGGUUCAGCCAUGGAGGAAUGAGGAAGAGACUUUGGACUUCCUCUAAAUGAUGGCCACAUCCUAGAAGAUAGACAUCCUCAAGGUGAUGAGGAAUGUCAUUUUGUCCUGGCAGAGCCAACCCCCAGCGAGCCAAACUCGGGAUCCUCACCCACCUAACGUUCCUUGUCUUGGGGAAAACAUCUCUCUAGCCAUUGAGCAGGGUAUCUGUCUUUCUAGCCCUUUUUGUAUUUCAAACUGCCUUACUCACUUUUUGUUUUAUGCAGAUAUGGUAAGGUCAAAGAAUUUCACCGAGGCAGCAUGUGUUGUCCUUAAGGGCAAAGCUAUUGCUGGUCCACGCCUCCACCCAAGCAUGCCCGUCGCACCGAGAAAAUCAUCAUGUUUCCUCCUCCUCCUUCCCCUCCCGCGACUGAAGAAUCGACUCCCAUUUAGCCCGAGUCUUCUAUAAGGGAUACUCCUCUUGCAGCUGCUAUUCAAAAUGAUGCUCCGUAAGGAGCUGAUGUUAAAGCCAUAUGGCCUAAGAAUUUUCAGCACCUGACGUUGGCUUUGAUCCAUUCCACUUCCCUUCUCGAGGAGCGUCGCCUGUCUGUUCUAAUCGCCAAGAGCGCUCUAGGGCCCAAGGAUCACUACCGAUUGAAUGAGGUCGAGACCGAUGACCUCUAUGACAACAUUAUGCGCUAACACUUUGUAAGUAUAUUAGUCAGUGGCACAUAAUAUAUUAACUUAUUACCUCUACACUCACACAAUGACUUUUGGCAUAAUGAGGAUUAAAGUGUUAGCGCAUAAUCUCAUAUGGAUUGCAUGUUUCUUAGUGCAUCAGACCUUGGUCACUUUAUCAAAUUUAAAUUAGAAAUUCUGUAAAACGCAUUAUAUGCAAAUUGACUUCCUAUAAAAAGAUAGUUAUCACCUAUUAUAACUGAGCAUCUUUGUUCAAGAGACAAAAGAUCAAGCAAGCUCAAACUUAGUUAAUGAAAUAUCUUUUCACUUAUAGUAUAUUGUACAUUAAUUAUAAUAUCUUAGUUACUAUUCACAUUAAUUCCAACUUUAUAAUUUACGACAUAUUAAUCUUGUUUCUCUCGAGGAACAUUUUUAAAUUCUACUGCAACAUCUUCAAAAUAUUUUUUUUUAUUAGUCUUGCGUUUCUUACUCACCAAAAUGUGUAUCCUUAAGAAAAUUUUGGAUAUUUUCUGCAGUAGCCAACUCCACUAAAUUUCUUAUAAAUUUACAAUAUAGAGUUGCUAGUACAAUUACAGAAUAAAUGGUUAAGUCAUAUGAGUAAUAUACUAAUUUAUAUCAACUAAUAAUAAUAUUCCAGUACGUUGAUAGUCAUUAUUGCCAUCCUGACCAUCAUAUGACUUGGGUAUGAUGGAAGUAUAUUCCUAAAUAGUAAUGAGACUUUACACCGUGCAUGAAACUAUCUUGAUGUACUUACAAUAUUAAGAUAUGAUUUGCAUGCAGAAUUGUCGAUCAAUAUUGUAUUUGAAGGAUUAUACUCCAUGUAUAUUUCUCAAAACCUUGUCAAAUCAUUAAAAAUUAUUUUCUUUUAAGGAUUGCCAAGGAUCCUAAUCUUUGAAAUAGUGCAUUUAUCUUAAUUAUACAUAAUACAGUAAUACAAAUAAAAUGUUAGUUAAAAUUUUACCAAGAGAUAGAUUUUUUAUAUUAAAAGGGCACUUACCCAACAAUCACCUCUAUUUGCAAUUUUUUAUAUUGAUCAGAGACUUUUUCUUUGAUGACCAUAUUGCAAUAUUCACUGCACAAAAUUUUAAAAGCUCUUUGUAAAAUGGUCUAUAUGUCCCUUGCAGUGGACCUGAUUCAUUUUAUAAAAGUAAUCCAAUUAGUUUGCCAUUAAGAUAUAUAAAUUAGCUUUACAAUUUUAAGCAAACACAUGGAUCUUUCUAUUUCUAAUGUGUAUGCAAAAGCAAUUGACUGUGCGGUUGUCGAAAUCGAUAAAAAAUAACCUUUUUGGUUAUCUACAAUUUUACAACUGCAGAUAGUGGUAAAAUGAUCGAAUCCACAGGGAAUUGAUACUUACUUAUUUUUCUUAUCAAGACCAAAUAAAUAAACUGAAAGUAAAAUAAAAGGGGGGGGGGUUUUGAGAUUGAUAAAUUGAACUAAAAUUAAAAGCAAUAAAGUAAAGCAAAUAAUUAAAGUAAAGAAGAUUUAAAUAUGAGAAAAGCUCUAGUUGAAGAAUUGGAUUCACUUCAGUUGUUAGGAUUGAUCAUUAACACUUAGAUUCCUUUGUUUGAUUUAAUAAAUUAGUUAUGAAGAUGAAAGACGUUUCUCACCACCAUAUCUCUCCUUAAGCAUAAAUCAAUUAGGGAACAUUCUCUAAUUAAUUAUUAAUCAACAAGUUGUCAAGGAACAUGUUUGGGCCUUUGGCAUUUAACAACUGUCAAUUGCACUAAGAAUAGAGAGGCCUAAUUCUAGCUACCCAAAUGUAUGGUGAUAUUGCUAGAUCAUGCAAUUUUCUUAGUUUUUACACCAAGAGUUACUUGUGUUUGAAUAAUUCAAGUAAUUACGGACUUAAAACUAUCCAAACUAACAAAUUAUUACAUUGCAAUCAAGAAUCAAUUGGCCCUAUUGAUCUAAACCACAAAGCAACAAUGGAAUUAAGCAUGAAAUUGCAUAAAUAUUGAUAAACAAAAGAUAACCAACGUAUGUUCAGAUCUCCCAAUCCAUGAAACAACUAAAGUUUCACCUAAUCUUCAACUAGAAAAAGAGGUUUCAGCCACUCAUGACUGAAACAAAACAAAAAAAUAAAAGAAAGAGAAGAAGAAGAAGAAGUGGCUGGCGACUUGGAGAAGGAGGCGUCUUGCAAUCCGAAGGUGUGUCUAAGGAAGGGCGUGCAACUCUUCAUGUGAUGCUUUUAUAGCUGAAAGUGUUGCCCUAAGUUUCCUUGUUAAGGUGGAGCUUUCUUUUGAAUUUUGAAUGUCUUUUUUUGAAUUUUGAAUUCUUGAGAGGCAAGUGCAUCUCCUUGAGAUUUGGCUUCCUUAAUAAGGGAAAGACUUCUUGAAGAUUUGAAAUUUGAAUUUCAAAUUACUCUGGUGUCUGUACUUUCCUUAUUUAUCUUCACUUCAGCUGCAACUUGGCUUGGGCAAACAAUGCUUGUUCUCCUUUAUUCUAUUUUAGGCAGUUUUAAAAGCAUUUUCAUCAAAUUACCUCUUUACAUCGUUUUCUGCAAAUUAAGAUCAAAAGCACAAUAUUAGACAGAAAAUGUGUAAAUUAACAUUAAUAACAACAUGAUAAAUGGGUCUAAAUUUGGUCUGAUCAGCAAUCCAUUCAAGUCUAAAAUGAGAAGGUUUUUACGUGACGUAUUACUCACUUUCAGAUGAUAAUUUAAGAAAUCUAUUAAUCCAUUUAUUGCAAUUUUCCAAACUAUGAAUUUUCUUGCAAUUAAACUAUCUACCUAUAUAUAUAAAGCCUCACAUCAGGCUCUAUAUAUUAAAAAAAAAAACUAUUCUACAACAAGAAUAACAUUGUUCUUUAUAUUUACAGAAUUUGGAAAUGAGAGUUGAUAUCCUUUCGCCCAAUAUUGCAUAAUCUUAAAAAUGAGAGGCUUAAAAUAACUUCCAUCAAGUUGUUUUGGAAUGUACUUAAUAAGAUAGAAAGUCCAUUAGCGGUUCUUUUUAAUAUAAUAGUUGACAAGACAUCCCUAUACCCAAAGAAAAAAAAAAUCACUACUACAUUCAUCUAAUGUUCUUUCAUAGUAAGAUGAGUUACAAUUAAUCAAGUAAGUUUAAACUUAGUUAAUGAAAUAUCUUUUCAUUUAUAGUAUAUCAGUACAUUAUUUAUAGUAUAUCAGUUACUGUUUAUAUAAGUUCCAACUUUACAAUUUACAACAUAUUAAUAUUUUUUCUCCAAAGGAAUAUUUUUAAAUUCUGUUGCAACAUCUUUAUAAUAUUUUCUUCCAUCAGAGUCUUGAUGUCUUGCUCACCAAAAUGGGUAUCCCUAAAAUCUUUAACAUUUUCUGAAGCAGUCAACUCCAUUAAAUUUCUUAUAAAUUUACCAUAAGAAGCUACAAGUACAAUUACAGAACAAAUAAGCUAAUAGUAACAUACUAGUACUUAGAUAGACAUCAUUGUUAUCCUAACCAUCAUAUGACUUGGGAAUGAUGGAAGUAUAUUCUCAAAUAGUGAUGAGACAAGGAAAAGAUAAAAAAGAGUAUCAUUAGAUCCAAAUAAAAUAAUACAUCGCAAGUGAAAACCAACUUGAUGUACUUACAACAUUAAAAUAUGAUUUGUAUGCAUAAUCGUCAAUCAAUAUUAUAUUUGAAGCAUUAUAUUCUGUGUAUAUGUCCUAAACUCUUAUCAAAUAUUUAAAUGUUAUUUUCUAUUGAUGAUUGCCAGGGCCACAAUUAUUAAAAUGGUGCAUUUUUCUUGAGUCUGCAUAAUAUAGUAAUACAAAUAUAAUAUUAUUCUAAAUUCUACUAAGAGAUAGAUUUACAUUAAAGAGGAACUUACUCAACAAAAGAGGAAUUUAAGUCCCUCCACCUUUAUUUGCAGUCUUUUACAUUAACCAAAGACCUUUUUCUUUGAUGACCAUAUUGUAACAAUGAACUUCAUUGAGUAAAAUUUCAAAAACUCUUUGUAAAAUAGGCUACAUGUCACUUCUGGUUGACCUAAUUCAUUUUAUAAAAACAAUCCAUUAGUUUGCCAUUAAAAUGCAUAAAUUAGCCUUAUAAUUUUAAGCAAACUAAUUGAUCAAGCAUAAUUUAGCCACAUUUUUAUUAUGUUUAUCACUGUUUAAAUACACAUUUUUCUAGCUUAAUUUAUGUUUUUGUUAUGUUUUUGUAGAAAAAGAAGAAAAUGGAAAGUUUGAGAAAAAGUGCAGAAAAAGCUGGAAAAGUGAUUGGGUCAAAGUGAUUUGGCCAAAUCACCCACAGAAAUCAGAAACAGGAAGCUAAAGCAGAAAUCUGGAGGCAACACACAGAAACGAUUUGGGCAAGUGAUCUGUCCAAAUCACCCGCCCAAAUUACAUUGACGCACAGAAACAGCAGAAGCGAGAAAAGUGCAGAAAACUGAAAUUCAAAAGCAAAGAAGCCCAAAUCCAUUUCAAACACUCCAAGAUCAGUCCCUUAAGCCACGAGGAAGUCUUUUCACUUGAGGAAAUCCAUUCACAAUUAAAUACAAGAUCCAAAGAGGAAUCAAAGACCACAAAAGACCAAGUCAAGAUGGGAAUUUUCAAACCCUAAUUGGAUUAAAAUUCUCCAGCUAUAAAAAGGACAGCUUCCAACCCAGCAGAUCAUCAUCUCUUCACCAUCAUCUCCUCUCCCUCAUUGGAAUUCAUUGCAGAUUUUCGGCAGACUUCUCCUUCUUCUUUUCUUCUAUCUUUUUGUGUAAUUUUGUCCACCAUGAGUGGCUAAACACUUCUCUUUUCUAGUUGAAGUUGGAAAAUUCAGAUUUGUGAUGAAUUGGGAGAUUUAAAACUCUAUUAUUAAACUCUUGUUUACUUUCAAUAUUUAUGCAACUUGAUCUUUCUAUAAAUUAUUGCUUUGCUUUUAGAAUCAAUUAAGGCCUGUUGCUUUUAAAUUGUAUGAGUAAUAAAUUAUUUGAAUGAUUUAGGUCUGUAAUUGCUUAGAUUAUUUAAACACAAGUACAAUCAGUUGUAUAAUCUAAACUUGACAACGCGGUUGGCAAGGUUAGAGUUGGGUUUCUCUAAGUCCUAAUGCAGUUAACAGUUGUUCGAUGCUAAAAGCCCCAAGAACGUUCCUUGGCAACUUGUUAACUAGAGUUUGAUUAGCGAACGUUUCCUAAUCAAACUAAAACUAAGGAGGAAUUUGGAUUGUGAGACGCGUCUUCCAUGUCCUAAACUAACUUAUUCAAAUAAAUAAGAGUAUCAAAAAGGUCAAUGAUCAAUUCUAAACAAAUUGGAAUUCAUCCAUGCUUCAACUAGAAUCAUUUUCCCAUUGAAAUUCUUAUCCUUUUAAAUUAUUACUUUCUCUUGCUAUUUAGUAUUAACUCAUCAAAUCAAAACCCCCCCUCUUUUAAUUAUUUGUUAUUUACUUGUCCAAGUCAUUAAUAGGAAAAUUCAUAGCGUCAAAUCCCUGUGGUUCGACCCUAUUGCCACUAUUUACAAAUUAUUUUGUUGGUUAAUAAUAGGUUUAUUUUUUACGGUUUCGACGACCGCUAUCACUAAUGGACAUCUCUGUUUAUAUUGUGUAAGCAAACAUACUCCAUUCAAGUCCAAAAUGAGAAGCAUUUUAGAUAACAUAUUACUCACUUCCAGAUGAUAAUUCAAGGAGUAUAUUAGUUAGUUCAUUGCAAUCUGCUAAAUUAUAAAUUUCCUUGCAAUUAGACAACUAACCUAUACAUACAAGCCUCCCAUCAAGUUCUAAAUAUUUAAAAAAAAAAAAAACUAUUCUAUAAGAAGAAUAGCAUGGUUCUUCAUAUUUUCAGAAUUUGGAAAUGAAGGUGGUAUCCCUUCCCUUAACAUUGCAUAAUCUUCAAAGAGAGAGGUUUGCAACACUUAUCAUCAAAUUGUUUUCGAAUGUCUUUGACAAAAUAGAAAGUCCAUUGGCAAUUCUUCUUAAUUAAAUAGUUGACAAAGCAUCCCUACACUAAAAAAGAAAAAGAAAGAAUAAAAAUCACUUCUGCAUUAAUAUAGUGUUCUUUCAUAGUAAGAUAAGUUAUAAUUAAUCAAGCAAGUUUAAACUUAGUUAAUAAAAUAUCUUUUCAUUUAUAGAAUAGUAGUAUCAGUUAUUGUUCAUAUCAUUUCCAAUUUUCCAAUUUACAAUAUUUUAUUCUUCUUUCUCUUAAGGAACAUUUUUAAAUUCAAUUGCAGCAUUUUUAUAAUAUUUUUUUUGUUGGAGUCUUGUGUGUCUUGCUUACCAAAAUGGGUAUUCCUUAUAAAAUCUUGGACAUUUUCUACAGCAGCCAACACUAAAUUUUUUUUAUAAAGUUACCGUAAGGAGCUUCAAGUACAAUUGCAAAAUAAAUGCUUAAACUAUAUGAGUAAUAUACCAAUUUAUAUCAACUAAUAGUAAUAUACGAGUAUCUAGAUAAUCAUCAUUGCCAUCCUAACUAUUAUAUAACUUGAAGAUAGUGAAAGUAUAUUUUUAAAUGGUGAUAAGACAAGGAAAAGAUAAAAGGAGCAUCACACAUGAAAACUAACUUGAUAUACUUACAGUAUUAAGAUAUGCUUUGUAUAAAGAAUCGUCAAUCAAAAUUGUAUCCGGAGCAUUAUACUCCAUAUACAUUUUCCAAACUCUUGUCAAAUCUUUAAAAAAUAUUUUCUUUUGAGAAUUGCUAAGGACUGCAAUAUUUGAAAUGGUGCAUUUAUCUUGAUUUUUCAUAAUAUAAUAAUACAAAUAAAAUGUUACCCAAAAUUCUAUCAAGAGAUAGAUUUUUUGAUGUUAUAGAGUAACUUACCCAACAAAAGAAGAAUUUAAGACCCCCUUCUCUAUUUGCAGUCUUUUUACAUUGAUUAAAUACCUUUUUCUUUGAUGGCCAUAUUGCAACAACGAAUUUCAUUGAGCAAAAAUUCAAAAAUUUUUUGCAGAAUGGUCUAUAUGUCACUUCCAGUAGACUUUAUUCAUUUUAUAACAACAAUCCAAUUAGUUUGCCAUUAAAAUAUAUAAAUUAGCUUACAAUUUUAAGCAAACCAGUGAACCUCUCUGUUUCUAUUGUAUAUGCAAAAGCACUCCGUUUGAGUCCAGAAUGAGAAGCUAUUUAAGUGAUAUAUUACUCUCUUUCAAAUGAUAAUUCAAGGAAUCUAUUAGCUAGUUCAUUAUAAUCUCCCAAAGUAUAAAUCUCCUUGUACUUAGACAAACAACCUAUACAUACAAAGCCUCACAUCAGGUUCUAUAUAUUAAAAAAAAAACUAUCCUAUAACAUGAAUAGCACAGUUCUUCAUAGUCAAAGAAUUUGAAAAUGAGGGUUGAUAUUCCUUCCACCAAUAUUGCAUAAUCUUCAACAAGCGAGGUCUGCAACAAUUAUCAUUGAGUUAUUUUGGAAUAUCAUUGACAAGAUAGAAAGUCUGUUGACAAUUCUUGUUAUAAUAAAUUACAUUUUAGUCCUUAAGUUUUAGUGUAAUUAAUGGAUCAAUCUUUACUAUUUUUAAAAUUGAACACUUAAAACCUUGAGUUUUGAUUCCUUUAAAAUUUGAAGUCCUCCUGUUUAUAAAAUCUAUCAAGUUGACAAUAAAAAGGAUGAAAAAUAUUUUAAAUUUCAAAAAUACCUCAUCAUUUUUUACACACCAAACUCUCAUCUCAUCCAUUUCUCUAAAGGCCCCCUUCUUUCAUAUCAUCAUCAGCAAGUGUCCCCUUCUUUCUCCUUCAAUUAUAGUUGUCCUAUCUCAACCCCCUCUUCUUCCUCCUCCUCCAUUCUUUCUUGAUCUCAUUUCUUGCCUUUUUCCCUUUCUCACAGCAUCAUAAUUUUCAUUGCUCUAAUACUUUGUGCUAUCUUCCUUCUCGAACUUGAUUGUGCCCUUAUGAUGGCUACCCUAGUCCUUGGAGGAAGCCGAUUCACAACCAUUCUAUGAAAAAUCUCUAAGGACAAGGAUUUAAUCCAUUAAUUGAUCUAGAAAGAUAAACUCUAAAUGAUGGCAUAAAGAGGCUUUAACAUGAGAAAGAAUGUGUAUCUUGGAGUUAUAAAGACAUGAACAGGAGAGAUAAGAAUUUGAGAUGCAAUGCAAUUUUUAAAGUAGCAAUUACAACAAAUGGAGUGAAGAAAACAAACUAUGGUGUCUUUUGUGGCUCAAGUCUUAAAAAUAAAAGCCAUGGGUUUGCUCUAAAUCUCAUGUCACAGUUGGAACAAUUUGAGUAAUUGGAGUCAUCUCUAACAUUAUAGGAGAGUAUUGCCAAAUGAUGUCCAAAACAAAAUGCAAAGCAAUUCAAUUUGGAGUUGGAUGAAUAUACAAGCUGCUGAAAUCCAACUUCAUCUUGAGUUCAAUUUAGUAUUGAUAUUUGGCCCGAAUCUCUUAGAAUCAACAUGAAUUAUGAGCAUGUUGUAGCUUCAGUUCUAGAUCUUGAUCCCCCUAAUUAUUGACUAAGAAUCCAUGUUAUUCAAUCUAAAAGAAAAGAUUUUGGUGAUAGAAAAAAAAGAGAGAUUAUUUAUAAUAAUGAGUUUCAUGGGAUUGACAUUAUAUAAUAAGCAUGUAAUUUGCAAAAUUUAUAGAUUGUUUUUAAUAUUUUUUUUUGUUUGCAAGGAAAAUUUUUUUAUGCAUAUAAGGAGUUUGAAAAAAUGUUUGUUAGAAACUAAGUAAUGCAUGCUUAUUGUGUAUGAGAGUAUUAGAAUUUUUAAUGAGUUCUGAACUAAAUUGGGGGUAUUUGUUAGUAUAUUUGCCCUAAGUCGUUAUAUUGGACCUUUUGUGUGUCAUUUUAUUUAUUAAUAAAAUGGAUUUUAUUAUUAUUAUUUAUUUGUAUGUUACAUAAUAAUUAUUAACAUCUCCGAUUACUUAUUAUUAUGAUGAUAAUAAUAUAAUAUGACUAGUAUGAUUAUUUAUUGAUAAUCAUGAGAUGAUUAUGUAUAUGUUGAUAUAAAUCAAUAAUCAUAGACACUUAUUAGAGAAUAAAGUAUUGGAUGAAUCCACAUUGCGAUUAUUAUAUGGGUUAUUGUCAUAAGUGAAUCCCAAGAUAGUUAUGUUUUAAUCAUUUGACUUGAGAUUGUCAUAGUUUUCAACAUAAGGACUGUUAUGUUUUGACAUAACCAAACAUUGUCUUUAAUCGGAUAAUCAUAAAGGUUAUGAUUGAGCAUAAUAUAAAUUAUGUAGAGGAUAUUGAACAAUCAAGAUAGAAUUUCUCCCUCUCUUUGAGAGAGAUAUCUUCUGGGUUCCUCGAUAAGUGAGACUGAGAAAUGCAUGUUCAUGCUCAAAUGAAUUGAUAAUAUGAUCAAUAUCAUUUGGUUUUAUCAGUCUACUUAGAGAUCGAGAAAUUAUAAGUUUGAAUAUUAUAACUUUGACAUUGACCAUGACUUAUGUUCAAACUAGAUAUUGUGUGACAAAGAGAUUAAUACAUGUUUUGUUUAUUAGGCUUUAUCAGACUAUCGAUCUUCAUAUUAGUUGGGUAGUCAUAACAUCUUGCUAGAGGCCGCUUAUGAUUUAUGAGUCUUGUUGGACUGAGUCUAUUGCCAAUUAAUGUGAGCCUAUUAGAUCACACACAAACGAACGUUAUUGAUGUGUUAUGUCAUAUUAAUGGACUAAGAGCUCGUUAGUAUAAUUAAUAAUAAUAUUAAUAAAGAUGUUAUUAUUAUUAAUAUUAAUUAUUUGUAAUUAUUAUAAGAUAAUAAUAUUUAAAAAAUCUGCAACCUAUCUAUACCGGUUACAGAUAAAAGGUCUUUUCGUUUUGUUUUGAAAAGAAUUUAUUACACAGAUAUCUUGGUAUUUACAAUCAUGUGCCUAUUACCAUGAUCACAACUCUUUUACAAAAAGAAAAGAGUGAAAAGAAAAGAUUUUGAGAGAAAACAAGUGAACAGAAAACACCUUCUUUGAGAGCUUUACAGAAAGCGUGAUGAGGGUUUUUGUAAUCGUUUUUUGUGUUGCAAAUUUGGAGUACAUAGCUAAUCCAUCCAUUCAGAAAGCUAGCACUCCAAAUAGAAACGUUCGUGUGAAUACCAUUGAGGGUGUUCUUUUCAGAAGCAGCACCAUUAGUUUGGAAUGAAAACGUAAAUUUACAGUCUUGAUAGGAUUUUUGAAAUCUAAAAGAUUAGUUUCUUUAUUCUUCUUUUUGAAUUAAACGAAACACUCGAAUCUUGAAAAGAAAACAAAGAUCUUUUAUUUUUUGCUGCAUAAUUUUGGGUUGCGGUGACCUCUGGGCUUCCUUAUAGUAUUAUGAAUAAUUUUUAUUUUAUUAACGGCUAUUUAAUAGAAGGAAAUCUAAUUUGGAUGGAAUAAAAACUUAAAGGUUUAAGUGCUCGAUUUUUUUAAAAAAAAUUACUAUUUAGUCCAUAUGUUGCAUAAAAACUCAUUAGUUGGUCCUUCUAUUUUAAAAAAUACAUUAAAAUGUCUCUGAAGUUUUAAAAAGUUUACUAAUUAAUCUCUCUAUUAAUUUUAGCCGUUAAAUAUUGUAAAAAAGUCUAAAAUAUCCAUAAUAUGAAACGACCAAUUAGUAGAUUUUUUAGAAAUCUAAGGGAUCAACUAAUGAGUUUUUUAAAAUUAUAGGGAUUAAAUAGUAAAAUACUUGACGACUAAAAUUAACGGAGUCACUGACUAGUAAAUAUUUUAAAAUAUUAGAGAUAUUUUAGUGCAUUUUUUAAAACCAAGGAACCAACUAAUGAGUUUAUCUAUAUCAUAGAGACUAAAUAAUAUUUUUUUUGUUCUUUUAAAAAUAGAGGGAUUAAUCCAUUUAUUAUACUAAAACUUUACGAUUAAAGUAUAAUUUGCCCUUCUUGUUAAUUAAAUAAUUGACAAGAUUCUCCUACACUAAAAAAGAAAAGGAAAAAAAGUCCUUACUGUAUUCAUCUAAUGUUCUUUGAUGAUAAGAUAACUUACAAUUAAUCAAGCAAGCUUAAACUUAACUAAUAAAAUAUCUUUUCAUUUAUAGUAUAUUAAUACUUCGAUUACAAUAUACAACUUACUAUUCAUAUCAGUUCUAACUUUACAAUUUACAAUAUAUUAAUUUUCUUUCUCCUAAAAAAAUUUUUAAAUUAUGCUACAACAUUUUCAUAAUAUUUUCUUUCAUUGGAGUCUUGUACUUCUUGCUCACUAAAAUGGGCAUCCCUAGUAAAAUAUUGGACAUUUUCUAUAAUAGCCAACUCUACUAAAUUUGCUACAAAUUUACUGUAAGGAGUUACAAGUAUAAUUAUAAAAUAAAUGCUUAAGCCAUACAAGUAAUAUAUCAGUUUAUAUAAGCUAAUAGUAAUAUACCAAUACCUAGAUAGUCAUCAUUACCAUCCUGACCAUCAUAUAACUUGGAGAAGAUAGAAAUAUAUUCCUAAAUAGUGAUUAGACAAUAAAAAUAAAUAAAAAAAAGCACUAUUGGUCCUAAAUAAAAUAAUACAUUGCAUAUGAAAACUAACUUGAUAUACUUAUAACAUUAAGAUAUGCUUUGUAUGUAGAAUUGUAAAUCAAUAUUAUAUUUGAAGCAUUAUACUUUGUGCGUAUUUUUCAAACCCUUAUCAAAUCUUUGAAUAUUAUUUGUUAUUAGAUUUGCUGAGAAUCCCAAUCUUUGAAAUAGUGCAUUUAUCUUUGUUUUAUAUAAAACAAUAAUAUAAAUACAGUGUUAACUAAAAUUCUAUUAAGCGAUAGAUUUUUUGAUAUUAAAGAGGAAAAUACCCAACAAAAGACCCUCCACCUCUGUUUGUGAACUUUAACAUUGAUCAAAGACUUUUUUUUUUCUUUGAUGGCCACAUUACAACAAUGAACUUGGUUGAGCAAAAUUUCAAAAACUCAUUGUAAAAUAGUUUGUAUAUGACUUCCGGUGGAUCUGAUCCAUUUUAUAAAAGCAAUUCAUUAGUUUGCCAUCAAAAUGUAUAACUUAACCUUACAAUUUUAAGCAAACCAGUGGACCUCUUUGUUUUCAUUUUAUAUGUGGCAUAUUAUUUAUUUCCAGAUGAUAAUUCAAGUAAUCUAUUAGUCGGUUCAUUGCAAUCUCCUAAGUUACAAAUUUCCUUGCAAUUAGGCAAUCAACCUACACAUACAAAACCUCACAUCAAGUUUUUUAUAUUAAAAAAAACUAUACUACAAAAAAAAAAAAACAUGGUUUUUCAUACUUAUAAAAUUUAGAAAUGAGGGUUGAUAUUCUUUCCCCCAAUAUUACAUAAUUUUCAAAUGAAAAAGAUUUGCAACAACUACAAUCAAGUCGUUUUGGAAUGUCCUUGACAAGAUAAAAUGUCCAUUGUAAAUUAUUCUUAAUUAAAUAAUUGACAAGACAUCCUAAUAUGCAAGAAAAAAAAGAAAAGAAAAAUUGCUACCACAUUCAUCUAAUGUUUUAGAUAGUAAGAUAAAAUACAGUUAAACAAACAAUAUCAAAUUUUUUUCAUUUAUAAUGUAUCAGAAUAUCAAUUACAAUAUGUCAGUAACUGUUUAUAUCAGUUUCAACUUUACAAUUUAUAACAUAUUAGUCUUUUUUUUUUCUAAGGAAUAUUUUUAAAUUCUGUUGCAGCAUCUUCAUAAUAUUUUUUUUUUCAUAUGAGUCUUUUGUGUCUUAUUAACAUUAAUUUUCUUACAAAUUUACCGUAAGGAGCUGUAAGUACAAUUACAGAACGAAUGCUUAAACCAUAUGAGUUAUAUACCAGUUUGUAUCAGCUAAUAGCAAUAUACCAAUACGUAGUCAUCAUUGUCAUCCUAAUAAUCAUAUGACUUCGGGAUGAUGGAAGUAUAUUCUUAAAUAGUGAUUAGACAAUGAAAAAAUAGAAAAAACAUUAUUAGACCUAAAUAAAAUAAUACACCACAUAUGAAAACUAACUUGAUAUACUUAUAACAUUAAGAUAUGAUUUGUAUGCAAAAUCAUCAAUUAAUAUUAUAUUUGAAGCAUUACACUCCAUGCAUAUUUCCUAAAUCCUUGUUAAAUCUUUGAACACUAUUUUUUUCUAGGUUCGCCAAGGACCCCAAUCUUUGAAAUAAUGCAUUUAUAAUUAUUUUUCAUAAUACAGUAAUACAAGUAAAGAGUUAUAAAAAAUUCUACAACUGAUAAUUUUUUAAUAUUAAAGAGGAAAUUACCUAACGAAAGAGGAAUUUAAAACCCUCUACCUCUAUUUGUGAUCUUUAAUAUUGAUCAAAGAUUUUUUUUUUUUUUAUGAUCAUAUUGCAACAAUGAACUUCGUUGAAAAAAAUUUUAAAAAAUCAUUAUAAAAUGGUCUAUGUAUCACUUCCAAUGAGCCUGAUUUAUUUUAUAAAAGCAAUCUAAUUAGAUUGCCAUCAAAAUGUAUACAUUAGCCUUACAAUUUUAAGGGAACCAAUGAACUUCUCUAUUUCUAUUGUGUAUGCAAAAGCACUCCAUUUAAUAAAAAAUGAGAAGCUUUUUAGGUAAUAUAUUACUCUCUUUCAGAUGAUAAUUCAAGGAAUCUAUUUGCCGGUUCAUUGCAAUCUUACCUAUGCAUGUAAAGCUUCACAUCAAGUUCUAUAUAUUAAAAAAAAAAACUAUCCUAGAAAAAGAAUAAUAUGGUUCUUCAAACUUACAGAAUUUGGAAAUGAAGGUUAAUAUCCCUUCCCCCAACAUUGCAUAAUCUUCAACGAAAGAGGUAUGCAAUAAUAUUACAAUCAAGUUAUUUUAGAAUGUCCUUGACAAGAUAGAAAGUUUAUUAGCAAAUAUUCUUAAUUAAAUAGUUGACAAGGCAUCCCUACACCUCCACCCUCCUUCCAAAAAAAAAAAAGUCACCACUGCAUUCAUCUAAUGUUCUUAUAUAGUAAGAUAAGUUACAAUUAAUCAAGCAAGCUUAAACUUAGUUAAUGAAAUAUCUUUUCAUUUAUAGUCUUAGUGCAAAAAUUACAGUAUAGUAGUUACUAUUCAUAUUAGUUCUGACUUUACAAUUUAUAAUAUAUGAAAAAAAAUUACUUUUUAAUCCCUAAGGUAUAGUAUAAUUAAUAGAUUUAUUCCUUCAUUUUUAGAACUCAAUACAUUUGUUCUUGAGGUUUAAUUCUGUCAAAAUUCAAGGUCCCUCCGUCAAAAUUUUUUGUUAAGUGAAUGAUUUUCACUUGGUCAAAGGAAAGUGAAUAAAUAUAAUCCCAAAAAUACCCUUAUCAAUAAUAAAAUAAAAAAAUUAUUAUUUAGUCCUUAUAGUAUGGAAAAAAACUCGCGACUUUCUCCCUCAAAUUUGAAAAAUAUAUUAAAAUAUUUUUAACAUUUUAAAAAGUCUGCUAGUUAGUUUCUCUAUUAAUUUUAUCACUAAAUAUUUUACUAUUUAGUCCCUAUAAUUUAGAAAAAAUUAUUAGUUAGUUCCUCAAAUUAUUAAAAAAUUUACUAAUUAGUCUCUCCAUAUCAGGGGUAUUUUAAUUUUUUUUUUAUAAUACUUAAUGACUAAAAUUAACGGAAAGACUAACUAGUAGACUUUUUAAAAUGUUAAAGAUGUUUUAAUAAAUUUUUUAAAUGGCGAGUAGUGAUCGACAACGAGCGACAUCACAAAAGCAAUUUCGAUUGAGUUUUAACUUUUUAUUUUUAAUAAUUUAAAUUUUAUAUAUUUUUUAUUUUUAUUAUCUUUGCUGAAUUUAAAUCUUAAAUUUAUUGAAAUUUUUAUUUAGUUAUGGAGAUUGAGUUUGAGAUUUUCUUUCUUGCAUUUUGACGAAAUUAAACUUCAGGGACUAAAGUGUUGAAUUCAAAAAAUAGAAGGAUAAAUAUGUUAAUUAUGUAAUAUUUAGGGAUGAAAACGUAUUUUUUCCUUCUAAUCUUUGAGAGAUGGACCUAUAAAUUUGUAUGAAUUAAAUUUCAGGGACUAAAGUGUUGGGUUCUAGAAAGGGUAGUUCGGUCAUUUUUCCUAUCACUAACGGCAUUUUUGAUGGAGAGACAUCUAAUUUUGACAGAAUUAAAUCUCAGGGAUGAAAGUGUUUCUAAAAAUAGAGGGACGAAUCCGUUAAUACAUCAGAGACAAAAAAUUAAUUUUUUUCAUGAUAUAUUAGUCUUUUUUUCUCCUAAAAAUUAAAACAUAUAGAUAUACACACAUUUACAUUUGCCAAAAAAAGAAAUUAUAUAUAUAUUCCUUUAAUUGUAAAUUUUGAAAUCAUCAUAUCACAGUUUUGUUUUACUUUCUUUCUUGUAUCAAAUAUUAAGUAUUAAUGAUCCAAUAAAAUAUGAAGAGAAAUCAUGCUUGUCCGAAUGUCAUAGUUUGAGUGUAUUAUCUUAAAUUGAGUGUUUAGUCCAUGAUCUGAUUGUUUUGAUAUUUGUGAUUAUUUAGAUAAAGUUUUAUGUAAAAGAUAACUAUUUUGCAUCAAUAAUCUCGUGCAUAACCUUGUUAAUUUAUUAAUGUAAAGUGUAGAUGAUCUACUUAAGAGAAAUGAAACAAUAAAAUUUUUGUUUAUAUACUAUUGAAACUUCCAAAUAGACAUUAUUUGCUUCAUUUAUGUAAAUAAACUUUUUGUAGUAAUUAAGAAUACUCAAUACCUUUUAAUGUAAAUAAAAAGAAAAAGAGAAGAGAAAUUUAACACAAUCUUCUUCGCUAUUUUGUGCCACUAGUAACUAGUGGUAUGCAUUAACCCCAUGUUUGCUUCUAUGUCAAACGGUUGCUUGAAUUAUGAGUAUGCAAAACACUUUGACUUCAUGGGUUACUUAGUAACCGGGUGCCGACAUCACCAAUGUUUUCAUUCGCGUAAAAACACAAUUAAUGACUUAAAGAAGAGUGUCUAAUAAUAAGUUUAGAAAAAAAAAAGAGAGAAGUCAA